AUAUAUAAUAUAUAAUUAUAUUAGUUAAAUUACAUAAGAACAUAUAGAUUGAUGAAGGGCAUUGCAUGUAAAACUUUCAAGGUAGAUUUUUUUAUUAAUAAUAGUACAUAGGUAAAACUCUAGUUUUAUUAAUAUAUCGUGGCUCACUAUGAGCUCUUACAUGAUAGUAGAUAGCAGCUUAGUAAAGAGUGAUCUAAAUGGAAAAGAUAAGACCCCUUCUUCCACGCCUUCCCUCCUUCUCCCUUUGCUGUUGCUGCUGAGGUUGAGCAUUUGCAAAGUAAGAUUGUUGUUGGUUCUUAAUUAAUCUCUCAACAUCUUCAACAGAACCAGGGAAUGUAAGCUGCUUCACUUCUUUAUCUAACUGUCUUAUCACAUUGUCUUCAGAACCUUUCAAUUUUCAAUAAUUUCCAAACAUAACAAUAUGAGUUAGUAACGCCAAAACCAAAGUCAUAAAGCAAAUAUUAUAAUUUACAAUUAGGUAUUUGUGCCAAAAGUUUAAUUUGUUGCCACAUUGGCUUCGUCCAAAGAUAUAGUUGGUGAUUUGGCGAUCAAUUUUAUAACUGUGUAUCUACCUUUUAAAUAGCAUGUUUAGAUUAAAUUAAAAUAUAUUUAAUUAUAAACUUUGAAGUUGAAUAAUGUUUAUGGUACCUGCAAGGAAAUUCCUCUGGUUUUCAUCAGCAUUGAUGCCAAAUCCAAGCAAGCGAAGAUUUGAGGAAGCGUUGAUGGAAAUUGGAUGACCUGCUGGAAUUACGAAAAUGUCACCUUCUGAUAAUUUAGCAUUGUACCUUCUCACUUCUUCCUGUUCUUGCUCAUCUUGUUGUCGUUCUUGAUCUCUUAUACCCACCAGUUCAUAAUUUCCUUCUCCUUCAUCAACCACGACUACAAAUAUGGCCUUUGAGUUAUAGUGUGGUAACAACAAACCUCCCUAACAUAAAAAAAUCAAAUCAUUAGUAAUAGUAUUGUUGUCUAAGACACAACACCAGUGAAUAAGUUCAAGGAAUUGUGUGUAUUGUUAUUUGGGGUUGGAUGUAAAUAAUGUACCUCGUUAAUUUCUAUGAAGGUGAGAGAGAUAUCCAAAUCCUGAGCUUGAGGGUUUCUGUCUGGGGUGAUCUCGUAGAAGUUGCCAAACUUGUUUGAAUAAAUGGGUUCAUCGCUUCUCAAGUUGAAGGGGCCAGAUUCAGAUGGUUUGCCUUUUCCUGAUGAUGAUUGAGCAUGUUUUCUCAAUUCUUGGAUCUGUUCCUUUGACACUCUCACUAUCACCCCCUCAUCUUGGUGGCUCUGCUCUUGUCCACGACUUUGCUCCUCAUCUUCCUGCCCGUCCUCAUUUCCUAAAAUAAUCCUUUGUAUCUCUUCAUAACGGGUCUAUAUUUGAAAUCCAAACAAACAAAUAUGUGAUCAUUAGUACAUAUACUCAAUAAAUAAUUGUGCAACCAACGCAGAUCAGAUGUCAUACAUUGAAGGUGGCCUCUAAAGUGUUCCUACUGAAGCCGUUGAAGUAAGACUGUUGGUCUUUAGUACUUGAUGGAUAGAAAUCCUAUAAAUAUACAAAUAUAGAGAGAAAGGAGGAAGAAAUUAAAAUUACAUGGUGUUAAAUAUGCAAUGGGUGCAUAGAAAAUUAGAUGAUAUAAACAUAAAAGAUAAUAUGAUUGGAGAAAGAACAUUACAUAGAAGUUGCCAGGGUUGUUGAUGGGUAUUGCGAGCUUGACUACUCUAAGGUUCUGGUUGUCAUCCGGGUUAAGGAUAUAAGAAGUUGUUCCAGCUGGGAGUCUGAGAGCAUCUCCAUGCUCAAGGUUAUAUGCUUGUCUUUUAUCAGGGUUGACUAUCGUGAUUGUGGCUCUACCUGCAAUUCCAAAAUAAUGAAUGUAACAAAUCAUUCAUUCUCAUUAAUUAAUUGGCAGAAAUGAUUACUACUAGUAGUAAGUAAGGUUUUAAAUUUAGGUUAGCGACCUCAAUUUAAAUCCUUGAUAAUAGUUACCAUUGAGUACAACGAGGAUGUAGUCAGCAUCAGAGUGUUUAGGGAGAAUGAGAGUGUUAGGUUUUGAUUGGAACUCCACAAUGCGGUAGUUUUGGAGAUUCUCAAGUCUAUUGGUUCUCUGGUCAAACCUCUCAAGCACACGGAUUUGGCCAUUCCUAUUUCUGUAAAGAGUUUGGAAUCUUUCAGAGCUGAAGUAAUAAGGGUUCCUCUGUCUGCGUGAGUCUGAGCGAGAACCUUGCUCUUGCUCUUGUUCUCUCUCUUCCCUCUGUUCCCUCCUCUCAUAACCACUUUGCCUACGUGAGCUAGAGCUAGAGCCUUGCUCUUGCUCUCUCUCUUCCCUUCUACUUUGAGGUCGUUGUCUCCUCGGUUGCCACUCUUCUUCCUCCUCUCUCCUUCCAUGUUGAGGUUGUUGUUCUUGCUCCCUCCCUCUACUAGGUUCUCUCCUUUGUUCACGCUCUUCCUCUCGGCUUUCUUCGCUCUCGCUCCUACCACGUGAUGGCUCACGAUUACGCUCCUCCUCUCUCCCAUGCUCUCUUUCUUGCUCCUCCUGAUGGCGAGGGCGUGGUUGUUGUCUUGGGUCACGCUCCUCUUGUUCUCUUUCCUGAGGCCUCUCAUGAUUCUUUAUUGCAUUUUUUUCUCCGUAAGCAAUACCGAUUGACACUGCCAUGAGGAAUACUAUUCCUAGUAGCAACACUAACGUUGGAAACUUCACUCUCAUAUUAGCCAUAUUUUAUUAUAUUAGAUUGCACUCGAUGAUGNNNNNNNNNNNNNNNNNNNNNNNNNNNNNNNNNNNNNNNNNNNNNNNNNNNNNNNNNNNNNNNNNNNNNNNNNNNNNNNNNNNNNNNNNNNNNNNNNNNNUAUAUAAUUAAAAAUAAAUUGUUGCAUAAAUAACGUACAAUACUAGUGUACGAAUAAUGAUAUUUGUUGAGCUGUUAAGGUUAUACCAAUACCUUACAUAUAAGAUUCAGUUAUAUAUGAUUGUCAAUCACGUGGUUACUAGGUGUGAAUUAAAGAUCCGAUUAAACAAGAUUUGGUCAUAUAUGAUCAUUGAUUACUAGAAUUUCUAACUUAACUGUGUGAAAGAACGAUAUUGGAAGAACUAUUUCUAAAUAUUUGUAUGAUACAAAUUAGAUAAAAUAGCAAAUAAUCUAUAUAAUGAAUGAUACACAUACUUCAGUGGGACAAAGGGGGGAGUAAACUUUACACUAACAACUCAAGGGUACAGAGAAUUUUAAUUUAGUGAUCAAGUAUUAAAUUAUAGCUGUGAUGAUAAGUUAUAUAUACUAAUUUUUUUAUAUAUUUACUUCCAACUUAUUGAAACUUGAGAAGUAUGCUUACAUUUAGAGAUGUAUAGUUAUUAGUCAUAAGUGUCAUCAAAUCGGUCAGAGUAAUAGUAUAGUGGUAUAGUGGUUCAACCGAUGGUUCAUUAAUUAAUUUUAUGUCGGUUAAAUCCGACAUACAUGCUUAUCUAUACAAUCUUUAAUAAAAAAAUUAACUAGGUAAAUACUCAAAUUUAAAAUUCAUGUUCUUAGUCUACUAAGAAUACCCAUAGAUAAACAAUUUUAACAAACAAAGUCUGGCCCAUCUUCCAUUGAUGCAAAUCAACUAAUUGAACAAAUAAAAGAACUAAGUAAGGAAGACGCACUUUACAAUAACAAUUAAAAAUCCUAACAUGUAAGGUAAGAAGAAAGAGAGAGAUGAUUUAAGGCGGGAGAUGAUAUAAACACACACCUUAAUGGGCAAUGACUUCAACUCUACAAAGAAUUGGAUGGAACGAAGAUGAUAGGUCGGUGGAAGGGACUGGACAAAGAUGAUACCUCGGGGAAGCCUGGAACUAUAAAAGAAAUGAAGAAGGGUUGAAGAAGUGUGAACAGUGGAAGGAGAAAAAUCGAAUAAGGGUAGAAGAAUUGUGAACCGUGUAGCCUAGAACUUUUUUGAAAACCCUACUUCCCUAAAACGACGCCAUUUAUGGUUAUUUUUUAAGAAUAAAAUACAUGUAUAAACCGGCUAAUUUAGUCAAAUUUCGCCUGGUUCACCAGUUUUGACCAAAUUCGGUCGGUUUUCACUGGUUUUGAUACUUGGUUAGUAUCAUAACCAUACUGUAUCGGUUAGGGGUUCGGUUCACCGGUUCUUCGAUUGACAUGGACGGUACGGUUUUUACGUUAUGGUUUGUUAAUGAGAUGGGGAAUAAGUAUUUUAACAAUCAAAAAUCAAAAUUAUAAAAGGUAAAUAAUUAAGUUUAUUUCCUAAUAUUUGGUGUAUCUUUCAAUAAUUAUAUUAAAUUCGUUUUCGUACUAACUUAAGUGAAGAAAAAAAUUAAGUAAGAGAAAACUGGUGAUUAUUUAUAAAUGUUAGGGUUGCAAUUUGUUCACCAAGUAAUAAUCAUUAAAGAUAUAAUGUUGUAUUUGUGGAUGAUGGUUGUUAAAGUCUAGGUUAUUUUAUAGAAAUUUUUUAUUGCCUAAACGUUGGGGUGUAAUCAUUUUUAGGCUGAAAUAGACAAAUGGAAUGUCAUAUUACUAUAUGAGAUGCUCAAGUUUUAUUUUCCAUGUUUUUUUUAAAAUUAUCAUAUGAAAGAUUAUAAAAAAUAUUGAUAUAUUUUUGUACGUUUUAUAUUGACAAUGCUUUUUUAUUUGGGUUAUUCUAGAUAGAAGGUGUUUGUCUAAUAUUGUAAAGCCUCAUUAGAUCCUCAAGAUGACUAAAACGUCAAUGGUUCGAUUUAUGUAAGCGACAUUUGUUGGCAGGGGCAGUCAUACACCCCAAAAGAGAUUAGUUUCUUACCCAAGGGUGAAGGGAUACCGUUUUUUGUACCCAAAAAAAUAAACAUUGUCUUGUGGACAUCUUACUCUUAUUUAUAAAUGUAUAAUAUAUAAUUACAUUUUCAGUUCUUCCAUAUCAUAAAUAUUUCAUAAAACAAUUCAUAUCAACAUAAUUAUUUCUUAAAUUCUUUUGCUUAAUAUUUUUUACCAUUGUGAUCUAGUGUUAAUCUUUUAUAAUUUUUCAAAUUUAUUUAAUAAAUGCAUAGACACAUUUUCUUAAUAUAUAUGAUAGUGAAUUAAAAAAUCAAAUAAAAUUAAAUAAAACCUUUAGAUGAUAAUAUGAGAUAUUAACUAUGAUACUUCUACACAAGAAACUGAAAAAAGCUCAAGGGCUUAUGAUCUGAGUUAUUGUCUUGGAUUCAUUUUGAGAAUUAAAAUAAUUUAGUUGAGAAUUGUGUGAAACUCUUAUUUUUUAAGUGAGAAGUAAAUGCAAUAUCAAUGAAGGAGUGCAAUAAAAUAAAAGAGAAGAAGAUAAAAUAAUUUAUUAAUAGGGUUCUGAUCAAUUUUGUAUACGUGCCUAGAAGCGUACAGUAGUUAUCAAUAUGUAUUUUUAGAGAAUAAGAAUUAUAAGUUCUAACAAAUUCAUGGGUAUAAAACUCAUAUGGUGUUUCUAAUUUGUGCAAGUUAUAAUAAGUAUCUUGAGCCUAAUAUUUAACAUUGUUUUUCUCAUUCUUCCAAUACUAGGCAAUGUUUUACUUAUUAUAAUAAUAUAUUUCAAGCAAUCUUCACCUUAGUGAAUAUUUUAUUCCUUAAUAAAUAUACGCAACAAUCACCACCUUAGUGAAUAUCCAACUCCAUAUUACGCAAUGACUAACUCUUUUUAUGAGCUCCUCCAUUGGACUUCUUCCACAUGUGAGAAUGCUCAUCUUCAACAUAAGUCGAGUAUCCUUUAUGAUAUUACCAAGAUUUAAGUUGUCCCAACUCAAAUUUUGAUGGAGAACCAAUUUCACGACUUCGGAGUAUGGGGAAAUAGAUUCCUUUUCUACAAAAUGAUUUGGAGUUGUCACUACAUUUUUUUUAUCAGAAUAUAAAUUUUUUCUUUAUACCCAAAUAGAAAACAAAUAUGAUUAUUGAACUAAAGUUCAAAGCUUGGGAGUCAAUUACAGGUCGGGAAAGGUAUUCACACCUCAUCUGAUCGUAUUAAAACAAUACCCACGCUAACUAGAUGGAUCCUUAUGCCCUCGAUUUAUUUUUUAAAAUAUUAAUUACUAAAGAAAAGUAGUAUUUUUUUUUUACCUACGAAGAGCUUAUUUGCUUUAAUGCAUCCUCAUGUUGUAAUAUGAAAAUCAAGACAACAUAGUUCAUGGCUGAAAAUUGAUCAAUGGAUUUGUAUAAAUUUUAUUAAAGAACUAAUAUAAAAUUAAAGGAGGUCAAUAGCAUAAGAGAUUGUAUUAGUUGUGAACCGACAUCUCAAUUUGAGAGGUAACAUAGAUAGUAUUGAUAACCGCAAUUGUUUCUCUACAUAUAUAAGAAAUUAAGAUACCACAUGAAUAUCAAACUCAUUAUUAGAUUCCAAAAACGGUUUAUCGAUUUUCAUAUAAAAAACUCACAACCACACAAAUUUCUUAUCAUAACAAUGGUGAUUUUAAGUUGUUUUACUAUAUACUAUAUAUUUCCAUUAACAAUAUACAAAUCCUCAUUCCAUUUUCCAUUAUAUAAUUAACAUAACUAAGUUAAUUAACAUGGUCAAGUUCCUUAUGCAUACUCAAGUCCUUGCAGCUUUCUUCGCUGUCAUUCUACUUCUAGCACAUAUUGAGAUGUGUCCUAUAUUAAGUAUUAAUAUAGAAGCAUAAAUCAAACCCAAAACCAUGAAUAGUUGGUUAUCUCAGAAUAAUUGUUUAACAUCAGCAUCAAGGUAUGACACACCGACAUGGUGGUUGUCUUUUAAAUAGGAAAAGUCUCUUGUCUCCGUCUAACAUCAGCAUCAAGCAUGCUACCAAAUUCCAAUAUAGGGAUUUAUAUUUUGAAGAAUAAUUAUUAUCAUUGAUAUAUUAUACCUUAUUUUUUAUUAUAUUUUUUAAUGUCUAGGUAAAAUGAUCGAAGUGGUUGAGAACCUGGAUACUAUCAUUCAUGAAGUAGUAAUCACUGAUGAUGAGGACUAUGUGGAGGAAAUAGAUGAGAGUGAAAGUGAGAGUGAGGAAGUGAAUGAAAGUGAAGGUUUGGAUAGUGUAAAUGACAACGAUGGAUUUAAUAACUAUGAUGAAAAACUAGAUUUUUGUGUGGGGGUUCAUUCAGAUGAUGAUUUAGUUGAAAUUUAUGUUGAGAGAAAGGUGGUUGGAGAACAAUUUAAACUCCAAUCUAAUGGUAAGGUGAAACUUCAAAUCAAUAUGUUACUAUUGUUAGAGAAACUUCAAACCAAUAUGUUCAUAAACGACUUACCGGCUUGAGAUACUAUUGUUAGAGAAACAAAUCCUGGGAGUAAAGUGACGAUGGAGUUUGCAAGGGUCACAAUUGAUAGGAACCCACAAUUUAAACGAUUAUUUGUAUGUCUUGGUGCAAGGAAAAAAAGAUUUGUUAGAGGUUGUAAGCCUUGGUUUAGAAUUGAUGGAUGCCAUUUAAAAGGUCCUUAUGGAGGAAUUUUACUUGUUACAGUUGCCCUUGAUGGAAAUAAGGGUAUAUUUUUUAUUGCAAUUGUUGUGGUAGAGGUGGAGUGUAAGGAUUCAUGGAGGUUUUUUCUAACCUUAUUAACUGAAACUUUGCACACUCUACCAAAAUGGAAGGAGGAUAAACUAACCAUUAUGUCAUAUACACAAAAGGUUAGUGUGUUUAAAUUAUAUAUCUCCCUAUAGUGAAUAGAUAAUGUCUCUCUAAUUAUUGCUAUUCUACUUAAUUUUUGUAUAAAAAGAACAUGUUGUGAGAAAUGAAGUAAUUCAGGAUAGGAUGUUAUAUGUUUUUUUUUAUAUUUUGGUUUAAGUUAGAGAUAUUAAAUGAUUCUUUAUUUGAAUUCCAGUGCUUAAAAGAUGCAGUUAGUGAGAUAUUUCCAAAUGCAGAACAUAGGUAAAUGAUUAAUUAUAAUCUUGUAUUGUUAAUAUUUUAAAAUACUUUAUUAAUCACUACUUGUUUUUGUUAAUAGGUUUUGUUGCAACCACUUGUUGAAUAACUUCAAGCUUCGAUUCAGGUCUUUAAUACUAACAACAGAGUUUUGGGCGGUUGCAAUGGCUUAAAAUGAAACCAUGUUUAAUAAAGCUAUUACUACUAUGAGAAAAAUCAACAAUGAUGAUGUAGAAUGGUUGCUAGAUUCUGAUAGGCCUAAAAUUAUGUGGGCAAGGCAUACAAUUGAUCCAAUCUGUAAAAGUGAUCAUGUGACCAACAUUGUGUGUGAAGUGUUUAAUGCAUGGAUUGUAGAUGAUAGAAAAAAGACUAUGUUGUCUAUGAUGGAGUCUAUUGUGUGUAGAUUAAUGGGAACAUUUGAAAGAAGGUUUGCAAAGAGUUGUGGUUUUGAGCACAACAUAACUCCUAACAUUCGGAAGGUUUUAAACACUAACAUGCAAGAUGGGAGGUUCUGUACAAUGACUUAGUUUACUUAGUUUGCCAUGUUUUACUUCUAUGUAUCUACUUAGUGUUUACCAUGGAGUGCUGGUUAUAUAGUUAUGGAACAUUUAAUUUCUAUAUGUGUAUGUUAAUUUUACAUGCUUAGUUAGUGUAUAUAAUGAUGCGGUAAUUAUUAAUAUUUUUUUAUUGUUCGUUUUUAUUUUAUUAUUUCAAGCAAAUGAUGAUGCAAGUAUAUCUGAUAUACCUUUGAGUGCAAGAGAAUCAUAUGGUGCCAACAACAUUUAGGAUAUUUUUUAUGUAUUUUGUUUUUAAAAUUUCAUAUGAGACUACUUUUAGUUUUUUUUUCUCCAGAUUUUAUGGUGUAUUUGGAUUUAUAAUGAAACAUGAACCGUAACUCUUUCAACUUUGUUAUGUUAUUUUAGUUAUUUGCAAUGAAAUUUUAUUAUUGCUAACAACAUUUGGAUUUAGUAUUGUAAGUUUAAAUAAUUAUUAUAAAUUAAUGAGAUUAAAGUUAUAAAAAUUAUGAAAUGAAAUUGAGGUUAAAAUCCUCUAGAAACAUAUAAUAGUUACCUUCCUGCAGGUUUCCAUAUAUAAUUUCGAGUAGUGAAGAUUGAAAAUCUCCACAAUUAAACGAUCUUAAAUAAUGAAGGUUUAAAGCCUUCAUGCUAAACACUACAAAAAUCACCUCAAAUAGUGGAGGUUAAAAAACUCCUCAAAUCGUGGAUGUUAAACUAAUGAAUGAUGAUUCAUUCCUAAAUAAAUACAUUUAAUACAAAUAUUGAUAAUAAAUGAAUAAAUAUAUUGAAAGAAUAAACUAAUAAAUACGAUGUUACUAUUAAAGACAUAUUACUAAUAUGUUAUUAUCUAGAAAACUAAUUAAUAUAUAUUACACAUAAUUUUCAUUAAUUUCUUAAAUAUAGGUAAUGGAUAGAAUAUAAAAAUAGUCAUAAUAAAUACUAAAUAGAUUUUGAUGAAAAAGAAAGGUUUGAGUUAGGUUUAUUUUAUAAAAUAAAUUAUGAAAAAAAUUUUUUUAGGAGGUUGAAUAAGUUAAAUGAUAGAAAGGUUUUUUAAUUAAAAAAAAUAAAUAAGAUACUACAUUGGUUGUUAAUUGAUGUUGCAAUGCAACUUUCAGUCAAUCAUCGGUUAUAUGACAGGUUUGGAUCCACCACUAUAUUUUUGCGGUCAAAAUAAAGAAAACAUUCUUUAAACCCACCUUUAAGGAAUAUGUUGUCUCACAUGAUAGGAUUUUGCUCCUACGUCUCCCUCUCAACAAUAGAGAAUCAAGACUACCUAGUUCUUUAGUAGAAAAUACUUUGUUGGUUGAUUUUAUAUUAUUUCUGAAUAGGAGAAGAUGUUUUAAUUUUAAUAUGGUGUCCAUACUUAAAUGACUAAAUUACAACCAUAAUGUAUGAUAUCGCAUUUCAUAUUAAGGAGGUAAAGCUUAACCAAAAUCAAUAUUUUUUAAUGUUUAAAGGUUUUUUAGAAAGGUGAUACACAAAGGAAGAGAUUAGCUGCAAAAAAAUUAAACGAUCCCAUUAGGAUUCUCUAGAACUUUUAUGUUACUCUCUCUUUUUUGGAAUAUUUUGAUGUGUUUUCCGGUUUUUUCACUUUGUCAUGAAUGCAAUACCUCUAUUUAUUGGAUGGAUUUCACAUAUGCAUAAAAUAAAAGUGAAUCACUUUCAUUAAUGCAUCGAAUCAAUUAAAACAUUUUAUUGGGUGUAAGAUUGUUUCUGAGAUAUCUAGAAAUAUCUCUUAAUAACUUUAUAAAGUCAUAGAAUAUUAUGGUGACACUCAUAUUAAUUCGGCUUUAAAAUUAAAAGUGUCCCAAAUGCUCUAUUUUGGGUAGAAAUUUCAUAACAAGUUCAAAAGGAAAUCACAAAUGUUCUUUUAUAAAAUGGGAUCUUUCCAUUAAUAGAUUAAUAAAUUCAUUAAGUCACUUAAAACCCUUUUUGAUUUUAUUUUAUAAAUAAAAUUAAAAUUGGUGAGAGAAAUUAAUUUGAAAUAAUAUCCUUGUGAAAAAAACUAAAAAUUGUAUCCAAAAAAUCUUGAAAUAGUAUCCCACCAUUAUUGAGUCAAAUAAGUGAUCUUUAAAUACCAUUUUUUAUUGUAAAGGAAAUCAAAAUGUUGGGAGGGAAGUUGACUUAGAUGUUGUAUCUAGUCAAUUUAUUCACAUUAAGUCAUUCAAACCCGUUUUUUAUAUGAGUGUAAAAUAUGAAUUUAUCCUCUUUACUUGUUGCUUACCAUAAAAGCGGGCAAAUUGAAGUUUGAAAGAUAUCAUGUCAGGUAACUAGUAAGGAAAUGAACACUAAUUUUGUCAAGGUUAAAAGAACUUACAUAUUCAAACUUCAGAUGCCUCGUAGUGAGGUUGAAACUAGUCAACGAUGCAGACUGAAAUACAGUAACCGUUAGUUUUAUGUAGUAGUUCGGGAAGCUUCUGGAAUAGAAAUCAUCAAUUUGGUGCGGCAGUUCUAGACUCUGCUGAAAGGGAAACCAUCAAUUUGGUGACAUAGUCUGAGAAUCUUCUGAAAAAUGAAACAAUCGAUUUGGUGAAGGAGUUUGAGAUUAUGUUGAAAGGGAAACCACCGAUUUGAUGAAGUAGUUUGAGAAUCUACUUAAAGGGAAACCAUCGAUUUGGUGAAGCAAUUAGAGAAUCUUCUAAAAGGGAAACCAUUGACUUGGUGAAGUUCAUCGAGAAUCUGCAGAAAUGGAAACCAUCAGUUUGGUUAAGUAGUACGAGAAUCUGCUAAAAGGGAAACAAUCGAUUUUGUGAAGCAUUUUGAGAAUAUUCUGAAAGGGUAACCAUGUAUUUGGUGAAGUAGUUUGAGAAUCUGUUGAAAAUGAACCAUCAAUUUGGUGAAGCAUUUUGAGAAUCUGUUGAAAUUAUAACUAUUGAUUUGGAGAAGCAGAUCGAUAAUCUAUUGAAAGGGAAACCAUCGAUCUAGUGAAGCAUAUCAAGAAUAUGCUAAAAGGGAAAGCAUUGAUUUUGUGAAGCAGAUCGAGAAUCUGGUGAAAGGGAAUCAUCAAUUUAGUGAACUGGUUCGAGAAUCUAGGAUAGAGAAACUAUCGAUUUGCUGAAAAAAAUUGAGAAUAUGGUGAAAGGGAAACCAACAGUUUGAUGAAGUAGUUUGAGAAUCUGCUGAAAAGGAAAUCGCUGAUUCGAAGAGUCAGAUCAGGAAUCUAUUGAAAUAAGGCUUACGGGCAUCUCAACAUCAGAGUGUGAACAUGAUGAUAAACGUACUUGAGAAAGGGAUGGCCCCACAUUGUCUAGGCCAAUUAUAUAUGUAGUUGGGAUGUGAAGAUGCAUGUAUUGAUGUUUGAUUAUUUGUGGAUAUGAAAUGACUUGAAUAUAAAUUUUCUGCUAUAUUUUGUAUGAGAUGAGUAUACAAUAAAGGGAAAGACUCGUACACAAAUAUUCUAAUGUAUCACUCUUGAUUUAUUUUUUCUUGGGAUGGAAUUCAUAAACCUUUGUGGAUUUGACUAAAGCAUCAAUUUAUGAUUGUUUUUAUUAGCAUGAUUGAAUGACAACUUGUCUUUCAUAAAAUUGCUUUAGUUUGCUUGAUGACACAUUUCCAUUAAGGUAAUUCAUACAAUGUGCCCUAGUGCCAUCUUGAAUGACUAAACUCAUAUAUAUUGCUCUAGCGUAGGUUGGCUGAGAGUUUCUUUCAAAUGUGUUUGAAUAAAAAAUUUAUCAUUGUGCCUAUUCUGAACUUUUGACUUCAACUUGGAGGCCAUUAUUCAGAUUCUCCAUAAAGAUGCCCCAUUUUGGGAAAUUAAGGAUAAGGGGUAGUAAGCCUUCACAUUGAGGUGCACAUUUAAUUUUCCUUAACUUUUAUCAAGAAUACCUAGUGUAUGAGCUUGUCGAGAAUUUUCUCAUUUAUUAUCAUCCUCAACCACCUUUUCAUUUUUUGACUUAUAAUCACUCUCCUUUUCCUAGGUUGCUCAUGUGGGUUGUCAACCUAGCACACUUUUUUUGUUUUUUGUUCUUUGAUUUUUACUUUUUACUUUAUUUAACACCGUCGACUUGGUGGCCUCAUUUGAUAGUAAGUAGAAGUCUUGUGUGGGUCAUUGUUGGAGUUGUUCUUCACAGUCAUAACAUAGUAUCAUUCACUUCUUGGUUGAUAGAUUAUCCAUUUUCUAUUAUUGGCAUGACUUAUAAGGCCAUGGGAAGCAACUCCGUACUGCCUCGUUUUUUGGCUUCUUGUAACUUUUCACUAGAAAAAUGGGAACACCCCAAAAAUAUGGCCCAACAUGGAUACAAGGAUUUAUCCUUCUAUUCAAAUUGUCCUGAAAUGAAAAAUUUGGAAGGACUUAGACAAUGAAUCAUCUCAAAAUAUGCCCUAGUUUGAAAGGUUUCCAUGUUUCUUUUACUUUAGAAGUCUUUAUUGUAUGCACAACUCUUUAAGAAUAAAUAUUAAAACAAUGAUCAUGCAAACUUGACAAGUGUUUGGAUUAUGCGUGGUGAUACGAUAAUGAUUAUAAAAUUUAAUUUUUGUUUAAGCUUUCUUAUAUGUAUUGUUCAAUUUGUAUGUGGUUGCGAGUUUUGAUAUGUUUAUGAUGAAUAUAAAACGGAACUUGUGUUUGGGCUUUGAAUUUUGUUGAUGAUGGUGAUGGUGAUGAUGAGAGAAUGGAAUGUUAAUCAUAUGCAUUAAGAUGAGAUUGUUAGAAAUUCAUAAUUUCUAAUUAAGGUGAACAUCAUAUAAUUAAUACAAUUAUAUUGGCUAUUUAUUUUGGUAUUCCAAAACAAGUGAUCUAAUUACUCACAACCUAUAAGACUUCUAAAACUGAUAAUGUAUAUGGCUUAAUGAGUGGAUACUGAAACGGUUGGCCUAUAUGUGAUAAUGUGAACCCUAUAAGUUAACGUAUAAGGAACGAUUAUGAUCUCCAAUGCACCAAAUCACAAAUAGUUUUCACCUCUCCCCAUCAGAGAGAAAAUGAAGGUCCCAAAAAAAAUUAAUGAUUUGGUUGAGGAAGCCCAUCAUACCAAAACUCUAUGAAAAUGUAUAUCAAAAAAGUAGAUUAGAGAACAUGGAUUUGGGUAUGACUUUGUAUCAUAGUUCUAUAUUAUGUGUGAGAAUCAUGAGAUUCAAGGUCCUAGGAUUGGUAUUUCACCAAUCAUUAGGAAAUAUAUGACAAGUGGUAUCAGAUCUUUAGGUUCUGAAUUUGUUAAUCAUAAAAGAUAUUAAAUCCGAAGGUUUUAAUUCCAAGAUCAUAAUUUAUUUUAUAAUGGACCUAUAUUGUUUUCCUUUUCUGUGGUAAUUAUUUUUGAAAUAAUUGGUGCAAUUGUUGUCAAAGUAACCUUUAUGGUGGAAAUUGAUAAAUAAUACAUAGAUGAGUAUGAGAUUAUUUAUGAGAAUUGUGUUUUGUCAAGUAAUAACAUACAUGUGAUGAUAAAUAAGUAACAAUUAUAAAGUUUUUUUCUUGUGAAUAAUAGUCGGUCCAAAGAAAGACUAUUGUUUGACAAAACUAAUUGUUAAUAUUUGAUCAUUACGUUUAGAGUACAACUUACAUAUUAUUUUCUCUGUCCAAAGACUAGAAAUUGAUGUUGUGCUAGGUAUCUUGUGAUGAGUCUAUUAUGUGAACAUGUCUUGUUUUAUAUGUAUUACCUGAUUUGUUUCUUUAAAUGGUUGCAACACUUACGGUUUGUUGUAUUAGUUGGUAGUUGAUUGCAUUAUUAAGGGGUUGCUAUUGUUGAAACACUAUUUCCAUUUGAACAUUGUGUCGUACUAUGUUUAGUCAUGUAUAAAAUGGUAAUAUAUUUUUAAUGGAAAAUUAAAAAGAACCAUCACUGGAAUUUGAAACGCAGAUCUUGGUGAUGGAAAUUAUGCAAUGCUACCAAUAGGCUAUAGUGUAUAUAUUAUAUAUAUGUGGAUAUAAAUAAUUCAUAUUUUGGAUUAAGUGAUGAAUCAAACUCAACUAAAUGGUUUUAAUGAAAUUGUUUGACAUUUUAAGUGAACAUAUUAAAUAAGAAUUCGCCAAAGUGACAUAUUUUCUAUGAAUUGUUCAUAAAUGUCAAAUACUAGUGUGAAUAAGUAUCUAUGCGAGUAUUAAUUGGCUCAAAUGAAGAUUAUUAUUUGGUCGAAUUAUAUACAUACAUAUGAUGGUAAACAUGUGACUAUUUUAAGGUUGAAAAUGGGACUGAUAAAUUAGUCUAGAGAAAGAUUUAUUAUUUUACAUGCAUUAUGAAUAAUGUUUGACCCUUACAAAAAUAUAUCAUUAGUGAUUGAUAUGAAAUAUCAAGCCAAAUGUAUGUUUGCAUUUUAUGUGAAUAGUGAUCGGCCCUAAGGAAUAUUAUUAUUUGGCCCAAAUUACAAACAUACUUGUAGUAUUAAUAUGUGAUAAUUAUAUGCCUUUGCAUGUGAAUAGUAAGUCAAUCCAAAGAAUAGCUUAUUGUUUGAUAUGACUGAUUAACAAUGUUUGAUUACUAUAUUGAGUGUACCACUUAUAAGUUAAUAUUUUUAUCCAAAGACUAAAUAUUAAUGUUGUGUUAGGUAACUCAUGAUGUGCCCCACCAUCAUUUGAAUUUAGGUUUUAAAGUUGAAUGUGAGUUUAAUUGCAAGAAUGGUUGCAAGAAUGAUUGCAAUUUGUUUUGUUCUUUUACUAGUGCUACAAAUAGUUUUGUUCAAAUUGAGAAUAUCUCAUUGUUGAACGGGACACACAUUAAGGUCUAUAAGAAAGCCGUGGAAAUUAUUCUCGGCUAUAUGGAUUUAGAUCUGGUACUUCAAGUGGAGAAAUCCAUUUCGACUCUGUAAAUCCUCGAUGAGGUUAAAAUUGAGAAAUUUGGAUGCUCUUAUUGUAUGUGUCUAAUGAUCAUGAAACACUAUAUUCUAGAAGUGUUUCAUAAUUCUAUUUUUGAGGGUCAGAGUGCAAGGAAGUUCCUUCAAGAAAUAGAACCAUACUUUUGCAAAAAUGAGAAGGCGGAGACUAGUAGCUUUUUUGGGUGAAAUCAUCUCCAUGAAGUAUAAAAGCAUAUGGAACAUAAGGAAGUACAUUAUGGAGAUGCCUAAUCUUGCAUCAAAACUCAAGUCACUUAAGUUAGAGCUGGUUGAUGACUUGCUCGUGCACUUGGUUUUGAUCUCGCUUCCUGCACACUUUGGGAUAUUCAAAGUGAGCUAUAACACUCAAAAGGACAAAUGGUGUCUCAAUGAGUUUAUAUAUCAUUGUGUCCAAGAGAAAGAGAGGUUCUAGAGAGAUAAGACUGAAAGUGCUCAAUUGGCUAUGACCACUCAGAAUAAGACAAGAAUGAACAAUACGGAUGUUGUGAAAGGGUUAUUUGUGUUUUUCGUCAGAGAUUGUGGAUUUGUUCCGCAAUACACUAUGCCAGACAAACCUAAAAUAAAAGGUGUUGUUGGCCGACGAAAAGAAACUCUUAAGGAUAUGGUGAGAAUUAUGCUUAGUCAUUCUUCCUCACUAGAGUCUCUUUGGAGGGAAAAAACCGUUAAUAAGACCAAGCUUAAAACAUUGCACAUUUGGGGUUGUUCAGUUGAGGAAGGCCUUAUAGGCCACAGGAAAGGAAACUCGACUCAAGAACAGUUAGAUGUUAUUUUGUUGGCAAUGUUGAGCGCUCUCGGGGCUAUAAAUUUUACGAUCCUACUUCAAGACAUUUUUUUUUUGGACGGGAAAUGCAAGAUUUCUUGAGGAAGUUGAUUUUGGGAAGGAAGAGAACAUAAGGAAUUUUAUCUUUGAGGAAGAACAUGUCACUAGUAGUGAACAAAUUCUUGUGUCUAUUACCAUUCAAGGAACAACUUCGGUAAUAGAAGAUAAUGUUUAGGAUAUUGUUCCUGACAAUAUUCUAGAACAAGACAACAAUGAGGUUCUCUCUCAAGUACUUAAAGAAAAAAUUCAACAACCUCAAGAAGUAGGGGUGCCAUUAAGCAUAUCCACUAGAGAGAGAGGAUGUGCAAUUCCUGAUGAUUAUAUUGUAUUUCUUCAAGAAUAUGAGGAUGACAUCAGGAUAACAUAAGAUGAUUCAUUGAAAAAAUGUCAAGACAUGAAAAGUUCUAACUCUCAAAAGUGGAUCAAUGUCAUGAAGAAUGAGAUGAAGUCUAUGCAUGAUAAUAACGUUUGGGAUAUUGUCGAAUUAACUGAAGUUGCGAAACCUAUUGAUAGGACAAAUUGCAAGUGGACGGUUAUAUCGUCAAGUAAUAAAAUAUCGAUCCCACGAGGACUAGAAAAUACUUUAAUUAUAACAAUUAAUUUAUAUGUAACUCAAAGCAAAAUUAUAAGUGAAUUUAGAAAAAUUGAACAUUUGACAAGAAUAAUUAUGAAAAUAUUAAAAAGGAUUGAAAUCUAAUUUAGGAAGAGUUCCAAGGAUAAGGGUUUACCCCUUUACACUCNNNNNNNNNNNNNNNNNNNNNNNNNNNNNNNNNNNNNNNNNNNNNNNNNNNNNNNNNNNNNNNNNNNNNNNNNNNNNNNNNNNNNNNNNNNNNNNNNNNNUAAAUUACAUAACAACAUAUAGAUUGAUGAAGGGCAUUGCAUGUAAAACUUUCAAGGUAGAUUUUUUUAUUAAUAAUAGUACAUAGGUAAAACUCUAGUUUUAUUAAUAUAUCGUGGCUCACUAUGAGCUCUUACAUGAUAGUAGAUAGCAGCUUAGUAAAGAGUGAUCUAAAUGGAAAAGAUAAGACCCCUUCUUCCACGCCUUCCCUCCUUCUCCCUUUGCUGUUGCUGCUGAGGUUGAGCAUUUGCAAAGUAAGAUUGUUGUUGGUUCUUAAUUAAUCUCUCAACAUCUUCAACAGAACCAGGGAAUGUAAGCUGCUUCACUUCUUUAUCUAACUGUCUUAUCACAUUGUCUUCAGAACCUUUCAAUUUUCAAUAAUUUNNNCAAUAAUUUCCAAACAUAACAAUAUGAGUUAGUAACGCCAAAACCAAAGUCAUAAAGCAAAUAUUAUAAUUUACAAUUAGGUAUUUGUGCCAAAAGUUUAAUUUGUUGCCACAUUGGCUUCGUCCAAAGAUAUAGUUGGUGAUUUGGCGAUCAAUUUUAUAACUGUGUAUCUACCUUUUAAAUAGCAUGUUUAGAUUAAAUUAAAAUAUAUUUAAUUAUAAACUUUGAAGUUGAAUAAUGUUUAUGGUACCUGCAAGGAAAUUCCUCUGGUUUUCAUCAGCAUUGAUGCCAUAUCCAAGCAAGCGAAGANNNNNNNNNNNNNNNNNNNNNNNNNNNNNNNNNNNNNNNNNNNNNNNNNNNNNNNNNNNNNNNNNNNNNNNNNNNNNNNNNNNNNNNNNNNNNNNNNNNNAAGCGUUGAUGGAAAUUGGAUGACCUGCUGGAAUUACGAAAAUGUCACCUUCUGAUAAUUUAGCAUUGUACCUUCUCACUUCUUCCUGUUCUUGCUCAUCUUGUUGUCGUUCUUGAUCUCUUAUACCCACCAGUUCAUAAUUUCCUUCUCCUUCAUCAACCACGACUACAAAUAUGGCCUUUGAGUUAUAGUGUGGUAACAACAAACCUCCCUAACAUAAAAAAAUCAAAUCAUUAGUAAUAGUAUUGUUGUCUAAGACACAACACCAGUGAAUAAGUUCAAGGAAUUGUGUGUAUUGUUAUUUGGGGUUGGAUGUAAAUAAUGUACCUCGUUAAUUUCUAUGAAGGUGAGAGAGAUAUCCAAAUCCUGAGCUUGAGGGUUUCUGUCUGGGGUGAUCUCGUAGAAGUUGCCAAACUUGUUUGAAUAAAUGGGUUCAUCGCUUCUCAAGUUGAAGGGGCCAGAUUCAGAUGGUUUGCCUUUUCCUGAUGAUGAUUGAGCAUGUUUUCUCAAUUCUUGGAUCUGUUCCUUUGACACUCUCACUAUCACCCCCUCAUCUUGGUGGCUCUGCUCUUGUCCACGACUUUGCUCCUCAUCUUCCUGCCCGUCCUCAUUUCCUAAAAUAAUCCUUUGUAUCUCUUCAUAACGGGUCUAUAUUUGAAAUCCAAACAAACAAAUAUGUGAUCAUUAGUACAUAUACUCAAUAAAUAAUUGUGCAACCAACGCAGAUCAGAUGUCAUACAUUGAAGGUGGCCUCUAAAGUGUUCCUACUGAAGCCGUUGAAGUAAGACUGUUGGUCUUUAGUACUUGAUGGAUAGAAAUCCUAUAAAUAUACAAAUAUAGAGAGAAAGGAGGAAGAAAUUAAAAUUACAUGGUGUUAAAUAUGCAAUGGGUGCAUAGAAAAUUAGAUGAUAUAAACAUAAAAGAUAAUAUGAUUGNNNNNNNNNNNNNNNNNNNNNNNNNNNNNNNNNNNNNNNNNNNNNNNNNNNNNNNNNNNNNNNNNNNNNNNNNNNNNNNNNNNNNNNNNNNNNNNNNNNNCUUGUUCUCUUUCCUGAGGCCUCUCAUGAUUCUUUAUUGCAUUUUUUUCUCCGUAAGCAAUACCGAUUGACACUGCCAUGAGGAAUACUAUUCCUAGUAGCAACACUAACGUUGGAAACUUCACUCUCAUAUUAGCCAUAUUUUAUUAUAUUAGAUUGCACUCGAUGAUGAAAAUGGGGACUAAGAUCACUCAUAUUUAUAGAUCAUUUUCAUAAGAAAUGGUGCCAUGCAUGUUGACGAGUGUUCAUAUUGACAAAUUUGAGGUGUCAUGUGCAUGCCAUUUAUCAACACAGCUCUUUAUGGAUAUACAUGGACGCGGCAAUCAUGCAUAUAUGCUUCUUGCUUCCUCAUACAUGAAUCAUUGUUUUUUUCUUCAAUUUCAUGAACUGGGACUUUAUUUUGGAAACGAUACAUGGUACUCUCUCUCUCAUUUCAUAUUUGUCUUUUCUUGGCUCGCCGUGUUUAUGGUUUGUUCGCUAUAGAAUUAUUACGGUAGAAAAAUAUUAGAAUGAAUAGAGUUUAAAAACAAUAAAAUACAUAUAUCAGUUCAAAUUUAAAAACAAAUAGCAGGGUGAGGGAAAAAUUCAAUAUAAUCAAGUACAUAUGUUUUCGAAAAACGGGAUUUCUUUUAAAAAAUGUGAUAUAUAUAAUCCAACUCUUAACUCUAUGGCCACGUUUAUAUAAUGUUUGGUUAUCAUCUAAAGCCAUGCAAUAAUAAUAAUAAAUAUCUGUUAAUAGAUUUCAAUAAAGCAACAUGAAAGAUAAAAUAAAUGAAAGACAAAAAAACAUAAAUAUAUAUUGCACAUUAAAUGUCAUCUUCAAAAUUAGGGGUACAAAAGUUCGGUUCGAUUUUAUUUUUGGUACAAUUCAAUGAUCAAACAUAACAAUAUGGUUUGGUUCACUUCAAUUAACUAAUAAUAUUUAUGUAAGAACCGAAUCAAAUUGGUAUUGAAUGGUUUGGUUCGGUUAUGUGGUUUUCGUCUUCUAUUUUUUAAAAAAAAUCUCAUCAAUGGAAGUUCAAAAUGUAUUUCAUGAUUCAUUUGUUGUCCAUAGAUAGAAAAACAUUACUACAAUUAUUAUUAUUCUUAUGAAAUAUAAAUCAUAUAUAUAUAGAUAAGUAAACAAAUUGAAACUAAUAACAUAUAUAAAAAAUAUGUAAUUUAGGAAGAAGAAAAUACAUGACGACAUAUAUAAUAUUACAAUUCACAACCAAUAACAUAUAUAAGAGUUCAAUUCACAAUUAAUAACAUAUAUAACAACUUAGUAACAUAUAUAGCCAUACAAUUCACAAUUAACAACAUAUAUAAGUAGGUUCCAAAUAAUCAAGACACUAGGAAAGUCACAAACAUAUAUAUAUAUAUAUAUAUAACAAUUUAGUUGUGUAGUAACAUAUAACAAUUUACUAACAUAUAUAACACUACAAUUCACACAGAAUUGAUAAUUUAAGCCCCAAAGUUGGUUAAAGAAUUCAAACAUUACAACGAUAUUCUCUAUUAUUAAUUUCUUUAAUAUGUGGUUUGAUUGAGUUCGAAUUGUUCCAAAAUUUUCUAAAUUAUGAACUGAACUUAAAUUGUUCUUUAACAAAAAAGCCAAAUUGAAUAAGGAAACCACAGUGUUUUGUAAGUUGGUUCGGUUCGGACACAUUAAUUUCACAGUUUAACCCUAUUCCAAAUUAAUUUAUUGUCAAAUUAUACAAUCCUUAUAACUUGGAAGGGAAAAGUUAAUCACAUAGAAAAGUAAGGCUGAAGACCUCUUUGAGGUUAUUAAAUCAUAGUGUAUAUGUAGAACGGAAUUUGGGAAAAGAAGAAAAACGAAAUCAUAAUAAAGGAUUUUCAAAAUGGAAAGUGUGGGCAUGAUAAUUUCGCAAGAUAAUAUUAUUUUGAAUACUAUUUUGUAACAAUUUUUAAUUAUACUUUGAAUUUUUUAAUAGAUUUACAUUUUUUUGCCUAUAUAAUUAAAAAUAAAUUGUUGAAUAAAUAACGUACAAUACUAGUGUACGAAUAAUGAUAUUUGUUGAGCUGUUAAGGUUAUACCAAUACCUUACAUAUAAGAUUCAGUUAUAUAUGAUUGUCAAUCACCUGGUUAUAAAGAUUUGAUUAAACAAGAUUUGGUCAUAUAUGAUCAUCGAUUACCUGAAAUUAUAUCUUAACUGUGUGAAAGACCAAAAUUGAAAGAACUAUUUCUAAAUAUUUGUAUGAUACAAAUCAGAUAAAAUAGCUAAUCUAUAUAAUGAUAAACAUACUUAAGUGGGAUAAAGAGAGGAGUGAGCUUUACACUAACAUCUUAAAGGUACAUAGAAUUUUAAUUUAGUGACCAGGUAUUAAAUUAUAUUUGUGAUGAUAAGUUAUAGAUACUAAUUUUUUAAUACAUUUACUUCAAACUUAUUAAAACUUGAGAUGUAUGCUUACAUUUAGAGAUGUAUAGUUAUUAAUGGUAAUUGUCAUCAAAUCGGUCAAAGUACUAUAGUAUACUGGUAUAAGGGUUCAACCGGUGGUUCGGUAAUUAAUCGUAUGUCGGUUAAACCGGACAUACAUGCUUAUCUAUAUAACCUUUAAUAAAAAAAUAUUAACUAGAUAGAUACUCAAUUUAAAAUUCAUGUUCUUAGUCUACUAAAAUUACCCAUAGAUAAACAAUUUUAACAAAUCCAAAGUUUGGCCCAUCUUCCAUUGAUGCAAAUAGAAGCCUAUAAGGGGCUAAACUAGCAAAUCAACUAAUUGAACAAAUUGAAGAACCAAGUAAGGAAAAAGUACUUUACAACAACAAUUAAAAAUCCUAACAUGUAAGGUAAGAAGAAAACGAGAGAUGAUAUAAGGUGAGAGAUGAAAUAAACACACACCUUAGUGGGCAAUUGCAUCAACUCUACAAGGAAUUGGAUGGAACGAAGAUGAUACUUCGGUGGAAGGGACUAGACGAAGAUUAUACAUCGGGGAAGCCUGGAACUGUAGAAGAAGUGAAGAAGGGUUGAAGAAGUGUGAACAGUGGAAGGAUAAGAAUCGAAUAAGGGUAGAAGAAUUGCGAACCGUGUAGCCUAGAACUCUUUUGAAAACCAUGCUACCCUAAAACAACAUCGUUUAUGGGUGUUUUUUUUAGAAAAAAGUAUAUGUGUAAACCGGUUAAUUUAGUCAAAUUUUGACCGGUUCACCAGUUUUGACCAAAUUUUGCAUAAUAGGUUUUCAUGGUCAUUUCAACACCUUCUUGAUAGUGUUGAUCUCAUACUUAAAACAACAUUUAAAAUCAACAUUUCUUAAGUUACACUUACCACUUUAAAGUAAGCUUACCUUAUCAAUGUUCACCCUAUAACAAAUCAACCAUCCUUUACCUCAUACCACUUUAAGUUUAUAAAGUCAAGACUUUUAUAAGUCAUCUUUUAUUCCAAAUCAUUACUUGAACUUGGAAGUCAAAGAAUAUCAUUUACUAACCAACUUUUAAACUCAUAAUAUUCUAAAACAACACUUUUUCACAAAACUCAUCCAUAAACAUUUUGGAUUUUAAAGUUAGAAACUAAACUUUUCCUAAACACAUAUAGACCAUGAUUUAGACCUAAUGCUAAGGAAAUUUUUGAUUCUUCAACUUAUCAUUAAACACUUUAAAGAUUCCUUUGAUAACAAAAUCAUCCCCUUUGAAACAAAAUCAAACUUCAACAUUAAAAAUAUACUAUUCUAAACUUGUCCAAGGCUAUGGUUUUUUAAGCCAAAAACAAGUGGAAAAGUCCAAACUUUGCAUGGUUAGGAAAACUCCUUAAAGCUUCCUUUGAUAUACAACCAUCACCUUUAACCAUGUUCAAAUACCAACAAACAUAUAAACUUUCUAAAUAUUAAAAACAGCCCCAUGAACACAAAAAGUUCAUGGUUUCAAAAUAACUUUCUAAGUUCAAGAAAAUAUCUAUUUGGAGUUUUAAACAUAAACAUAAAAAGAGUUAGGAAGAUUAUUAGAAUAUUUCAACGGUUGAAAAUAUUCAUAACAUACAUAUAAAUAUCAUACUAAAAUUUCAUAAAUAUCUAAUGGUUAGAUCAUAAGAGAUGAAGAAAUCAAAAAGAAAAACCAUGAAGAACUAACUUGAGAGUUCUUAGAGAAUGCAAAGUGAAGAAAGAGUUUGAAAUGCCAAGGUAUUCUCUUAGCUAGGGUUUCGAUCAUUAAAGAGAGAAAUCAUAUUUGGGGGGAAAAAGUCAAUGGUUUUUCAAAAAGUAGUUUGUGUAAGAGAUAUGUGAGUGAUUUUAGGAUUUUGUGUAAGAGAAUAUGUACUUUUGCUUGUUUAACAAACAAGACUCUUACAUGAAAGUGGUGUGAAUUUUCGAUGAAACAUUCUCGAUUAAACAUGCUCGAGUAUUAUCGGCUAAUACUCAGCCGGAUAUUAAAAUUUCUCGAUUUCGGUUUACGGUUAGAACUUCGAAACACAUAAUUUGGAGUGAAAAAUAUUCAGAAAUGUGUUCUUGACGAAAUUCAUGUCUAUCUUGACUUGAAAUAAUAUUUCGAAGCAAAGGGCACAAUUGAAAUUCAGUUCCGAGUUACGAAACUCAAAAACACGUUAUUGAGCCGAAUAUGGGUGAAUUUGAGCCCGACAGAAGCUCAAAAACCUUUCGUCGUAGAAAAAUACGAAAAUAUACCACAAAAUAGAAAAUCAUAAAAAAGGACUAAUACUCAAUUAUGGUUUAACAAAAAUGCAUACCGAUUAAUUUCUAAAACUAAUCAUUGAUAAAAUAAAUAAUUAAUAAAACAUACACACAAAAUUCACGGUGUUACAAGGGUUGCAAUUUGUUCACCAAGUAAUAAUCAUUAAAGAUAUAAUUUUUUAUUUGUGGAUGAUGGUUGUGAAAAUCUUGGUUAUUUUUUAGAAGAAUUUUUAUUGCCUAAAAGUUGGGGUGUAAUCAUUUUGAGGCUGAAAUAGACAAAUGGAAAGUCAUAUUACUAUAUGAGAUGAGCAAGUUUUAUUUUCCAUGUUUUGUUUAAAUUAUCAUAUGAAAGAUUAUAAAAAAUGUUGAUACCUUUUGUACAUUUUAUAUUGACAAUGCUUUUUUAUUUGGGCUAUUCUAGAUACAAGGUGUUGGUCUAAUAUUGUAAAGCCCCAUUAGAUCCUCAAGAUGACCAAAUAGUUAAUGGUUCAAUUUUAGUAUGCGAUAUUUAUUGGUAGGGCAGUCAUGCAUCCCAAAAGAGAUUAGUUCAUUACCCAAAGGUGAAGGGAUACCGUUUUUAGUAUCCAAAAAAAUAAACAUUGUCUUCAGAACAUCUUACUCUGAUUUAUAAAUGUAUAAUAUAUAAUUACCUUUUCACUUCUUCCAUAUCAUAAAUAUUUCAUAAAAUAAUUCAUAUCAGCAUAAUUAUUUCUUAAAUUCUUUUGCUUAAUAUUUUUUACCAUUGUGAUCUAGUGUUAAUCUUUUAUAAUUUUUCAAAUUUAUUUAAUAAAUGCAUAAACACAUUUGCUCAAUAUAUAUGAUAAUGAAUUAAAAAAUAAAAUAAAAUUAAAUAAGACCUUUAGAUGAUAAUAUGGGAUAUUAACUAUGAUACUUCUAAACAAGAAACUAAAAAAAAUCUCAAUGGCUUAUGACCUGAGUUGUUGUCUUAUAUUCAUUUUGAGAAUUAAAAUAAUUUAGUUGAGAAGUGUGUGAAACUCUUAUUUUUUUUAAGUGAGAAGUAAAUGCAAUAUCAAUGAAGGAGUGCAAUAAAAUAAAAGAGAAGAAGAUAAAAUAAUUUAUUAAUAGGGUUCUGAUCAAUUUUGUAUACGUACUUGGAAGCGUAGAGUAGUUAUCAAUAUAUAUUUUUAGCGAAUAAGAAUUACAAGUUCUAACAAACUCAUGGGCAAAAGACUCAUAUGGUGUUUCUAAUUUGUGCUAGUUAUAAUAAGGAUCUUGAGCCUAAUAUUUAACAUUUUUUCUCUCAUCCAUCCAAUACUAGCCAAUGUUUUACUUAUUACAAUAAUAUAUUUCAAGCAUCCCCAACAAUAUCAACCUUGAUUGAAAUAGACUAAUAAUUUGGUCUUUAGGAAAUUUAUAUAGCAAUCUUCACCUUAGCGAAUAUUUUAUUCCUUAAUAAAUAUACGCAACAAUCACCACCUUAGUGAAUAUCCAACUCCAUAUUACCCAAUGCCUAACUCUUUUUAUGAGCUUCUCCAUUGGACUUCUUCCACAUGUGAGAAUCCUCAUCUUCAGCAUUAGUUGAGUAUUCUUUAUGAUGUUAUCAAGAUUUAAGUUUUCCUAACUCAAAUUUUGAUGGACAACCAAUUUCACGACUUACGAAUACGGGGAAAAUAGAUUCCUUUUUUCCAAAAUGAUUUAUAAAAUAUUAAUUACUAAAGAAAAAUAGUAUAUAUUUUUUUUAUCUAAGAAGAGCUUAUUUGCUUUAAUGCAUCCUCAUGUUGUAAUAUGAAAAUCAAGAUUAUAUAGUUCAUUACUAAAAAUUGAUCAAUGGAUUUGUAUAAUUUUUUUAAAGAACUAAUUUAAAAUUAAAGGAGAUGAAUAGCAUAAUAGAUUAUCUUAGUUGUGAACCGACAUCUCAAUUUGAGAGAUAACAUAGAUAAUAUUGAUGAUCGUAACUAUUUCUCUACAUAAAUUAGAAAUUAAGAUACCACAUGAAUACCAAACUCAUUAUUAGAUUCCCAAAAUGGUUUAUUGAGUUUUUUUAAAUUUUUUUAAAUAAAUUUUUUUAAUUAAAAAGAGAAGUAACAACAUAAGAGACUACAUUGCUUGGUAAUUGAUGUUGCAUCCCAAUUUUCGGUCAAUAACGGUUAUAUGACAGGUUUGGAGCUACCACUAUGUUUUCACGGUCAAAAUAAAAAAACUUUCUUUAAACCCACCUUUAAGGAUUAUAUUGGUCUUUGAAUUCGAAAUAUGGACUCGAGACUCAGUUACGGAAUUAGAAGAUUAUUGCAUCGACUAAUUUUAUACCCAAAUUUGUUUGAUUAUUUUAUUUAUUAAAAGGGAAACUAUUUUUAUUUUUUUGUUUUGUCUCAAAUGAUAGGAUUUUGCUCCUACAUCUCCCUCUGAGCAAUAAAGAAUCAAGACUUCUUAGUUCUUUAGUAGAAAAAAGUUUGUUGGUUGAAUUUAUAUUAUUUCUAAAUAGGAGAAGAUGUUUUAAUUUUAAUAUGGUGUCCAUACUUAAAUGAGUGAAUUAUAACCAUAAUGUAUGAUAUCACAUUUCAUAUUAAGCAGGUGAAGCUUAAUCAAAAUCACAAUUUUUUAAUGUUUAAAGGUUUUUAGAAAGGUGAUACACAAAGGAAGAGAUUAGCUACAAAAAAAUUAAACGAUCCCAUUAGGAUUCUCUAGUGUUUCUCUUUAGAACUUUUAUGUUACUCUCUCUUUUUUGGUAUUUUUGACGUGUUUUCCGGUUUUUUCACGUUAUCAUGUACACAAUACGAUGGAUUUGACACAAGCAGAAAACAAAAGGGAAUCGCUUUCAUUAAUGCAUCCAAUCGAUUAAAACAUUUUAUUUUUCUAGAAUCAAAUCUAUAAUUCAUUGACUAAUUUUACUUAAAAUUUAAUAUUGGCUGUAAGAAUGUUUCUGGGUUAUCUAGAAAUUUUUCUUAAUAAUUUUAUAAACUCAUAGAAUAUUAUCGUGACACUCAUAUUAAUUCGACUUUAAAAUUAACAGUCUAAAAUGUUCUAUUUUGGGUAGAAAUUUCAUAGCAACUUCAAAAGGAAAUCACACAUGUUCUUUUAUAAAAUGGGGUCUCUCCAUUAAUAGGUUAAUAAAUUCAUUAAGUCACUUAAAACCCUUUUUUAUUUUAAAAAUAAAAUUAAAAUUGUAGGGAGAAAUUAAAUUGAAAUAACAUCCUUGUACCAAAAAAAUUAAAAAUUGUAUCCAAAAAAACUUGAAAUAGUAUCCUACCAUUAUUGAGUCAAAUAAGUGAUCUUUAAAUACCAUUAUUUUAUUGUAAAUGAAAUCAAAAGUUGGGAGGGAAAUUGACUUAGAUGUUGUAUCUAAUCAAUAUAUGCACAUUAAGUCAUUUAAACUCUUUUUUUUAUAUGAGUGAAAAAUAUGAAUUUAUUUUCUUCGUCAAAUUAUUUUUUCAAAAAUAACAUAUUUUAUUUACUAUUAUUAUUUUUAGGAAUCAAAUAUAAUUAAAAUCAUAUAUCACAUUGAUUUGUUUUUAUUAUGUAUUUUCGCUUGUGAUCAUAUUAUUAAAAUCAUUUUAAAAAAAAAACAUUUUUGUUAUCAUAUAUACCUCUUUUUACUUGUUCCUUACCACAAUAGUGAGCAAAUUGAAGUUUGAAGGAUAUCAUGUCAGGUAACUAGUAAGGAAAUGAACACUAAUUUUGUCAAGGUUGAAAGAACUUACAUAUUCAAACUUUAGAUGCCUCAUAGUGAGGUUGAAACUAGUCAACGAUGCAGGCUGAAAUACGGUAACCAUUAGUUUUAUGUAGUAGUUAGAGAAUCUUCUACAAUGGAAACCAUCAAUUUGUUGUGGCAGUUCUAGAAUCUGCUAAAAGGGAAACCAUCAAUUUGGUGACAUAGUCUGAGAAUCUUCUGAAAAAUGAAACAAUCGAUUUGGUGAAGGAGUUCAAGACUAUGCUGAAAGGGAAAUCAACAAUUUGAUAAAGUAAUUUGAGAAUCUACUUAAAGGGAAACCAUCAAUUUGGUGAAGCAAUUAGAGAAUCUUCUAAAAGGGAAACCAUUGAUUAGGUAAAGUACAUCGAGAAUCUGCUGAAAUGGAAACCAUCAGUUUGGUUAAGUAGUACAAGAAUAUGCUAAAAGGGAAACAAUCGAUUUCGUGAAGCAUUUGGUGAAUAUUCUGAAAGGGUAAAAAUCUGUUUAGUGAAGAAGUUUGAGAAUCUGUUGAAAAUAAAACAUCAAUUUGGUGAAGCAUUUUGAUAAUCUAUUGAAAUUAUAACCAUUGAUGUGGUGAAGCAGAUCGAUAAUCUACUGAAAGGGAAACCAUCGAUCUAGUGAAGCAUAUCGAGAAUCUGCUAAAAGGGAAACCAUCGGUCUAGUGGUUGAAAGUUUUUUUAAAGUGUUUGAACCCUAAAUUUAUCAUUGUGCUUAUGUUGAACUUUCGACUUCAAUUUGGAGGCCAUUAUUCAGAUUCUCCAUAAAGCUGCCCCAUUUUGGGAAAUAAAGGAUAAGGGGUAGUAAGCCUUCACAUUGAGGUGCUCAUUUAAUUUUCCUUAACCUAGUGUAUGUGCUUGUCGAGAAUUUUCUUAUUUUAUUAUCAUCCUCAAUCACAUUUUCAUAUUUUUGACUUAUAAUCACUUUCCUUUUCCUACAUUGCUCAUAUGGGUUGUCAACCUAGCACACGUUUUUUGUUUUUUGUUCUUUGAUUUUUAAUUUUUACUUAUUUUUAACACCGUCGACUUGGUGGACUCGUUUGAUAGUAAGUAGAAGUCUUAUGUGGGUAAUUUUUGGAGUUCUUCUUGACAGUCAUAACAUAAUAUCAUUCCCUGCUUGGUUAAGAGAUUAUCCUACUUAGUCUUCUUGUAACUUUUCACUAGAAAAAUGGUAACAACCAAAAACAAUGGCCCAAUAUGGAUACAAGGAUUUAUCCUUCUAUUCAAAUCGUCCUAAAAUGCUAAAUUUGGAAGGACUUAGACAAUGAAUCAUCUUAAAAUAUGCCCUAGUUUGAAAGGUUUCCAUGUUUCUUUUACUAUAGAGGUGUUUAUUGUAUGUACAACUCUUUAAGAAGAAAUAUUAAAACAAUGAUCAUGCAAAUUUGACAAGUGUUUAGAUUAGGAGUGGUGAUAUUAUAAAGAUUACAAAAUUUAAUUUGUGUUUAAGUGAUAAGUGGCAAACAUACCUAAAUUUCAUACACUUUUAUGGCACUUAUCUUAAGCAUAAUUAAGAAAAACCAACUUAAAACAAUACUUUUUGUAUAAAAUAUAACAAUCUUGUAUAUUUGUUUUUGUAUUUAUUUUUUAUGUAUUUUGUAGGAUUUAGAAAGAAGAAGAAAAGGAAAAAAGAUUCAUGGUCAAAGAGAAAAAUAAGUCAAAAUCAAGGUGCUCAAGGAGGCAGUUGAGCGUGGACCAAGCCACGCUAAGCUGACCUGGACACCAGCCUGACCUAGACCAAGCUGCUCAAGCAAGCAGCUGAGCGGACCUUCUUGGCCGCUCAGCCUAGCACCAGACUAAUCCUGACACGGUUAUAACUCAAGCUUGGCACAGUCAGACACGAGCCUGGCAUAAGCCCAAGUUGCUCAACAAGCAGCUCAGCGGUGCAACCAAGCAGCUCAGCGGUGAACCAGACUCCUUCCUAAUUCAACAAGCACCAGGCCACGUCCCAAUAAGCACAGUCAAAGCUGCUAAACAAGUAGCUUAGAAGAUUUAAGGAAUAUGUUGGUCUUUGAAUUUGAAUCUGGACUCGAGAGUCGGUUAUGAAAUUAGAAAAAUUAUUGCAUCGACUAAUUUUAUACCAAAAUUUGUUUGAUUAUUUUAUUUAUUGAAAGGGAAAAUAUUUUUAUUUUUUUGUUGUGUCUCACAUGAUAGGAUUUUGCUCCUACGUCUCCCUCUAAGCAAUAGAGAAUCAAGACUACCUAGUUCUUUAAUAGAAAAUAGUUUGUUGGUUGAAUUUAUAUUAUUUCUGAAUAGGAGAAGAUGUUUUAAUUUUAAGAUGGUGUCCAUACUUAAAUGAGUGAAUUUCAACCAUAAUGUAUGAUAUGGCAUAUCAUAUUAAGGAGGUAAAGCUUAAUCAAAAUCCCAUUCUUUUUAAUGUUUAAAGCUUUUUUAGAAAGGUGAUACACAAAAUAAGAGAUUAGCUGCAAAAAAGUUAAACAAUCCCAUUAGGAUUCUCUAGUGUUUCUCUCUAGAACUUGUAUGUUACUCUCUCUUUUUUGGUAUGUUUUGACGUGUUUUCCGGUUUUUCACAUUGUCAAGUACACAAUACCUCUAUUUAUUGGAUGGAUUUGACACAAGUGGAAAACAAAGGGGAAUCACUUUCAUUAAUGCAUUCAGUCAUGCAUUCAGUCAAUUAAAAUAUUUUAUUUUUCUAGAAUCAAAUCUAUAAUUGAUUGACUAAUUUUAUUUAAAAUUUAAUAUUGGGUGUAAGAUUGUUUCUAGGAUAUCUAGAAAUAUUUCUUAAUAAUUUUAUAAACUCAAAGAAUAUUAUUGUGACACUCAUAUUAAUUCGACUUUAAAAUUAAAAGUGUCCAAAAUGUUCUAUUUUGGGUAGAAAUUUCAUAGCAACUUCAAAAGGAAACCACACAUGUUCUUUUAUAAAAUGGGAUCUCUCCAUUAAUAGGUUAAUAAAUUCAUUAAGUCACUUAAAACCCUUUUUUUAUUUUAAAAAGAAAAUUAAAAUUGGUGGGAGAAAUUAAUUUGAAAUAAUAUCCUUGUACCAAAAAAAUUAAAAAUUGUAUCCAAAAAAUCUUGAAUGAGUAUCCUACCAUUGUUGAGUAAAAUAAGUGAUAUUUAAAUACCAUUUUUUUAUUGUAAAGGAAAUCAAAAGUUGGGAGGGAAGUUGACUUAGAUGUUGUAUCUUGUCAAUAUAUGAACAUUAAGUCAUUUAAACCCUUUUUUUUAUAUGAGUGCAAAAUAUGAAUUUAUUUUCUUCAUCAAAUUGUUUUUUCAAAAAUAACAUAUUUUAUUUACUAUUAUUAUUUUUUGGAAUUAAAUAUAAUUAAAAUCAUAUAUCACAUUGAUUUGUUUUUAUUAUGUAUUUUUCACUUUUUAUCAUAUUAUUAAAAUCAUUUUUAAAAAAAAAACAUUUUUGUUGGGAAUUUUGGAUCGGACAAAAUGGAUUGUUCACAUAUACCCCUUUUUACUUGUUGCUUACCACAAUAUCGAGCAAAUUUUAGUUUGAAAGAUAUAAUGUCAGGUAACUAGUAAGGAAAUAAACACUAAUUUUGUCAAGGUUAAAAGAACUUACAUAUUCAAACUUUAGAUGCCUCGUAGUGAGGUUGAAACUAGUCAACAAUGCAGGCUGAAAUACGCUAACCCUUGGUUUUAUGUAGUAGUUCGGGAAUCUUAUGGAAAGGAAACCAUCAAUUUGUUGCGGCAGUUCUAGAAUCUUCUGAAAGGGAAACCAUCAAUUUGGUGACAUAGUCCGAGAAUCUUCUGAAAAUGAAACAAUCGAUUUGGUGAAGGAGUUCGAGACAAUGCUAAAAAGGGAACCACCGAUUUGGUGAAGUAGUUUGAGAAUCUGUUGAAAAUGAACCAUCAAUUUGGUGAAGUAUUUUGAGAAUCUGUUCAAAUUAUAACCAUUGAUUUGGUGAAGCAGAUCGAUAAUCUACUGAAAGGGAAACCAUCGAUCUGGUGAAGCAUAUCGAGAUUUUGCUAAAAGGGAAACCAUUGAUUUUGUGAAGUAGAUCGUGAAUCUGGUGAAAGGGAAACCAUCGAUUUGGUGAAGCAGAUCGAGAAUCUGGUGAAAGGGAAACCAUUGAUUUGGUGAAUUAGUUAUAGAAUCUAUAGAAACGGACACCAUCGAUUUGGUCAAGAUGUUCGAGAAUUAGUUGAAAGGGAAACCAUUGAUUUGGUGAAGUAAAUUGAGAAUUUUCUGAAUGGGAAACCAUCGAUUUGAUGACAUAGUUCAAAAACAUGUUGAAAGGGAAACCACUAAUUUGGAAAAGCAUUUCGAGAAUCUGCUGAAAGGGAAACCAUUUAUAAGGUAAAACAGUUCGAGAAUGACUAGAAAAGGAAAUCAUCAAUUUAGUGAAGCGGUUCAAAAAUCUAGCAAUAGAGAGAGUAUCGAUUUGGUGAAACAAAUUGAGAAUAUGGUGAAAGGGAAACCAGUGGUUUGAUGAAGUAGUUCGAGAAUCUGCUGAAAAGGAAAUCGUUGAUUUGAUGAAUCAGAUCGGGAAUCUAUUGAAAUGUGGCUUACGGACGUCUCAACAUAUGAGUGAGAAUCUGUUGAAAAUGAACCAUCAAUUUGGUGAAGUAUUUUGAUAAUCUAUUGAAAUUAUAACCAUUGAUGUGGUGAAGCAGAUCGAUAAUCUACUGAAAGGGAAACCAUCGAUCUAGUGAAGCAUAUCGAGAAUCUGCUAAAAGGGAAACCAUCGGUCUAGUGGUUGAAAGUUUUUUUAAAGUGUUUGAACCCUAAAUUUAUCAUUGUGCUUAUGUUGAACUUUCGACUUCAACUUGGAGGCCAUUAUUCAGAUUCUCCAUAAAGCUGCCCCAUUUUGAGAAAUUAAGGAUAAGGGUUACACCUUCACAUUGAGGUGCUCAUUUAAUUUUCCUUAACUUUUGUCACGAAUACCUAGUGUAUGUUCUUGUCGAGAAUUUUAUCAUUUUAUUGUCAUCCUCAAUCACAUUUUCAUAUUUUUGACUUAUAAUCACUCUCCUUUUCCUAUGUUGCUCAUAUGGGUUGUCAACCGAGCACACUUUUUCUGUUUUUGUUCUUUGAUUUUUACUUAUUUACUUUUUACUUAUUUUUAACACUAUCGAAUGGGUGGUCUCAUUUGAUAGUAAGUAGAAGUCUUAUGUAGGUCAUUGUUGGAGUUGUUCUUGACAGUCAUAACAUAAUAUCAUUCUCUGCUUGGUUGAGAGAUUAUCCUGCUUGGGCUUCUUGUAACGUUUCACUAGAAAAAUGGGAACAACUCAAGAAAAUCGCCCAACAUGGAUACAAGGAUUUAUCCUUCUAUUUAAAUUUUCCUAGAAUGCUAAAUUUGGAAGGACUUAGACAAUGAAUCAUCUCAAAAUAUUCCCUAGUUUCAAAGGUUUCCAUGUUUCUUUUACUUUAGAGGUUUUUAUUGUAGGCACAACUCUUUAAGAAGAACCAUUAAAACAAUGAUCAUGCAAAUUUGACAAGUGUUUGGAUUAUGAGUGGUGAUAUGAUAAUGAUUAUAAAAUUUAAUGUGUUUAAGCUUUUGUAUAUGUGUUGUUUAAUUUGUGUUUAAGCUUUUGUAUAUGUGUUGUUUAAUUUGUGUUUGGUUGCGAGUGUUGAUAUGUUUAUGAUGAAUAGAAAAUUGAACUUAUGUUUGGGCUUUGAGUUUUGUUGGUGAUGGUGAUGGUGAUUAUGAGAGAAUGGAAUGUUAAUCAUAUGCAUUAAGAUGAGAUUGUUAGAAAUUAAUAAUUUCUAAUUAAGGUGGGCUACAUAUAUUUAAUACAACUAUAUUGGCUAUUUAUUUUGGGAUUACAAAACAAGUGAUCUAAUUACUCACAACCUAUAAGACUUCUGAAACUGAUAACGGAUAUGAGCUUAAUGAGUGGAUACCCAAACGGUUGGCCUAUAUGGGAUAAUGAGAAUCCUAUAAGUUAACGCAUAAGGAAAGGUUAUGAUCCUCAUUACACCAAAUCACAAAUAGUUUUCACCUCUUCCCAUCAGAGAGAAAAUGAUAGUUCCAAAAGGAAUUGAGGAUUUGGUUGAGGAAGGACAUCAUACCAUUACUCUAUGAAACGGUAUAUCAAAAAAGUAGAUCAGAGAACAUGAAUUCGAGUAUGAUCAUGACUUUGUAUCGUAGUUGUAUAUUAUGUGUGAGAAUCAUGAGAUUCAAGAUCAUAGGAUUGAUAUUUCACCAAUCAUCAGGUAAUAUCUAACAAGUGGUAUCAAAUCUUUAGGUUCUGAAUUUUAUGGUUCUCCAUUAAAGAUAUUUUUUCCCCAAUUUUUUAUAAACCCUAAUUUUUUAAAUUUGGGGAUUUUUAUGCUUCUGCUAUUGGUUAUGAGAAAUGUGUAUUUAUGAAUAAUGAGGAUAACUUUUAUCUGCUUCUGCUUAUUUGAAAUAUGGGUAGUUUGUAUUAUGAAUCCUUGCAACAUGUGUUGAAGUAUAUAUUUAGAUUUGUACAUGAAUAUUGCAUUAACUUUUAUUACUCUGUUAUGCAAUAUGUAUAUUGUAUGUGCACUAAUACCUUACUGUUGAAAAUUGACUUUUGUCACUUUAUAAUUUUGCAAUUGGCUGAAGUAUAUCUAUAAGGAAUAUAUGGUUUAAGUUGUGUUUUUCAUUUAUACAUAUACAAUAUUGAAUUCAUGGACUUGUACAUAUAUUGUGAAUUAAAAUAUACAAAUAUAAAUAUGUAAGUGCUUCCAGCUUGAGGUUGUUGUGAUGUUUGGAAUUACUGAUGAAAGGUAAUAUAUAUUUACUAUGUGUAUGUGAAACAGUAUAUAUAUUUUUACAUAUAUAUUUUAAGAUAUGCAUGAUUAUAUUUGAUUUGGAAUUUUUUAUAAUGAUUUGCAUAUAUUUUUUUAGGCUUUUCACUCUAGAUCUACUUUGUAUUUUUAUAAGAUUACAUCCAUUUUCAUGUGUUGAUAUAUAUGUAAUCUAUCUUUUUUUAUUUGGAAUUAUAUUAUUGGAUUAGAUCUGUUAAUCAUAAAAGAUAUCAAAUAUGAAUGUUUUAAUUCCAAGAUCAUAAUUUUUUUAUAGUUGACCUAUAUUGUUUUCCUUUUGUCUGGUAAUUAUUUUUCAAUUAAUUGGUGCAAUAUGUUGUCAAAGUAACCUUUAUUGUGGAAAUUGAUAAAUAAUACAUAGAUGAGUUUGAGGUUAUUUAUGAGAAUUGUGUUUGGUCCAAAGGAAGACACAAUUUGACCAAGUAAUAACAUAUAUAUGAUAAUAAAUAAGUAACAAUUAUAAAUUUUUUUCUUGUGAGUAAUAGUCAGUCCAAAGAAAGGCUAUUGUUUGACAGAACUAAUUGUUAAUAUUUGAUCAUUAAGUUGAGAGUACCACUUACAAAUUAAUUUCUCUAUCCAAAGACUAGAAAUUGAUGUUGUUCUAGGUAUCUUGUGAUGAGCCUAUUAUGUGAACAUGUCUUGUUUUAUAUAUAUUACCUUACUUGUUUGUUUAAAUGGUUGCAACACUUAUAGUUUGUUGCAUUAGUUGGUGGUUGAUUGUAUUAUUAAGGGCUUUCUAUUGUUGAAAUAUUGUUUCCAUUUGGACACAGUGUCGUACCAUGUUUAGUCAUGUAUAAAAUGGUAAUAUAUUUUUAAUGGAAAAUUCAAAAGAACCAUCACUAGAAUUCGAAACGCAGAUCCUUGUGAUCGAAAUGAUGCAAUGCUACCAAUAGACUAUAGUGUAUAUAUGUAUUUAUAUGUGGAUAUAAUUAAUUCAUAUUUUGGAUUAAGUGUUGAAUCAAACUCAACUAAAUGGUUCUUUAUUUUAAAGAAAUGACAUUGUUUGACAUUUUAAGUGAACCUAUUAAAUAAGAAGUCGCCAAAGUGACAUCUUUUCUGUGAAUUGUUCAUAAUAAAUGUCAAAGGCUAGUACGUACUAGUAUCUAUGCGAGUAUUAAUUGACCUAAAGGAAUAUUAUUAUUUGGCCAGAUUAUAUACACACAUGUGACGGUAAACAUGUGAUUAUUAUCAGGUUGCAAAUGUGAAUGAUAAAUUAGUCUAAAGAAUGGUUUAUUAUUUGACAUGAAAAAUAUCAUUAGUGAUUGGUAGAAAAUAUCAAGCCAAUUGUAUGUAUGCAUUUUAUUGUUUGACAAGACUAAUUAUCAAUGUUUGAUUACUACAUUGAGCAUACCACUUAUAAGUUAAUAUUUUUGUCCAAAGACAAAAUUUUAAUGUUGUGCUAGGUAACUCUUGAUAUGCCUCACCAUCAUUUGAAUUUAAGUUUUAAAGUUGAAUGUGAGUUUAAUUGCAAGAACGAUUGCAAUAUAUUUUGUUCUUUUAUUAGUGCUGCAAAUAUUUUUGCUCAAAUUAAGAAUAUCUCAUUGUUAAAUGGGACAAACUUUAAGGUGUAUAAGGAAGCCGUUGAAAUUAUUCUCAGCUGUAUGCAUUUAGAUGUGGCACUUCAAGUGGAGAAAUCCAUUUCUACUAUGUAUAUCCUCGAUGAGGUUAAAAUUGAGAAAUUGGGACACUCUUAUCGAAUGUGUCUAGUGAUCAUGAAACGCUAUAUUCCAGAAACGUUUCAGAACUCUAUUUCUGAGGGUCAAAGUGCAAGGAAGUUCCUUGAAGAAAUAGAACCAUACUUUUCCAAAAAUGAGAAGGCGGAGACAAGUAGCUUUUUUGGCUGAACUCAUCUCCAUGAAGUAUGAAAGCAUAUGAAACAUAAGGGAGUACAUUAUGGAGAUAUCUAAUAUCGCAUCAAAACUCAAGUCACUUAAGUUAGAGCUUGGUGAUGACUUGCUCUUGCACUUGGUUUUGAUCUCGCUUCCUGCACACUUUGGGACAUUCAAAGUGAGCUAUAACACUCAAAAGGACAAUUGGUUUCUCAAUGAGUUUAUAUCUCUUUGUGUCCAAGAGAAAGAGAGGUUGUAGAGAGAUAAGACUGAAAGUGCUCAUUUGUCUAUGACCUCUCAGAAUAAGACAAGAACGAACAAUAAGGAUGUUGUGAAAGGGCUAUUUGUGUUUUUCGUCAGAGAAUGUCUAUUUGUUCUACAUUAGACUUUGCCAGGAAAACCUAACAUAAAAGGUGUUGUUGAGUGACGAAACCAAACUCUUAAGGAUAUGGUGAGAAGUAUGCUUAGUCAUUCUUCCUCACUAGAGUCUCUUUGGAGGGAAAAAGUAGUUAAUAAAUGAAAGUGUGCAUGUCAAGAGGAACACUUUGGAAGGCUCUCCUUGAACGUCAUGGUUUUGAUGAGGACAACGUGUACCUAAAAGUGCUUGAAGAUAACCAACAAUCCAACGUGCUUGAGUCUUUUAUUUGGUACUAGGCUUAGACUAGUUUCUAGUUUAAGUUGAGUCGAAGGCUUAGGGCACCUAAAACAUGUCUCAUAUGCAUUUAUCUUUAAAUCAUUUCAUCCAUGAGAUAUGUUCAUUUGAUAAUAUGUUCAUGCAUUACAUAAAUACAUGUAUAUAUGCAUUCUAGGCAUAAAACUAAGUGUCAAACAUGUAUUAUCUAAGUGCAUAACAUAUUCGAUGUUUUCUAUUUGAAAAUACACAUUUUAUUUAGUGUUAAUCGAUUAACCAUACCUUUAAUCGAUUAACCCAACUGCUGUGAAAAGUGGUUGCCACUGGAACACGUUUUUGUAAUGCAGUUAAUCGAUUAAAGGUUCCCGUUAAUCGAUUAACCUAACUGAUUUUAAAGUGUUAAAUCUGAAAAACUGAAAAACAGAAUCAGUUAUGAUUUUUAGUCCCGUUAAUCGAUUAAGAAGGUAUUUAAUCGAUUAUCUGGGGUUCUGGACUGAUUCUUUAUAAACUGCGUUUUCAGAAUUAAUCUCAUAAGUUGCAUGUUGCAUUUAUUAGAGAGUUAGAGCAUUCUACGUGUUAAUUGCUGCAUCUAUUUGUUAAUUGCAUUAGUGAGUUUAGAAAUGAGAGAUUCCUUGCUUUAGGAUUGAGUGCAUUUCAUGUUAUAAUCUCUCAUGUUUUCCCUCACAUGUUCAUGCAUAUUUUUGAUGCGUUUUUCAUGAAUUUUAUAAUUCUGUAACUUCUGUUUUCAUAACUAAUACUUGUCAUUUCACAUGUGUUUGUGUUAAAUGUGCAUUAGAGUAAAGCCUUCAUGUUGUAUUUGAGCUUAGGUAUAGCUUAAUAUUACUCUUGUAAUUCUUGUGUAAUUGUUGUGAAAGGGAAUCUCUUGGUGUCGUAUCACCAGUAGAGAUUGUGUGUUUCUUCAUAGCUUAGAGUGUAAGAAAAGGAAAGAACGAGAGAUUCUUUGGCUGGGGCUACGCCGAAAGAAACGUUUUCUUUAUCGGUAGGAAGGGAGUCAAACCAUUGGAUAGUUUCUUUGAUUUCUUGUCAUUUGCUAAGUGUUGUAAUUGGAUAAUGUGUUUGUAAAUUACAUUGAUUCGAUUAUAGUGAAGGAAAUCUCCCAAGUCAGCCGGGAGGCCUGGAUGUAGUUUGCAGUGGACAGCAAACGAACCAGGAUAAAAAUUCGAUUUGCAGGAUUUGUUUCUCUCUCUCUCUUUACUGUUUUUCAAUCGAUUUAAUUUGUAUAUUUGAUUCAACUAAUACAUUCUGUUCUUUUGUUGUAUUGCAAGCUAUUCUGAUAUACAAAUUUGUAAGCUCUGUAUUCGUUCUGUUAUCGGUUAUUUGUUUCGCAUUUAAUCGUUUCUGUAAUUGCUUACUGGUUCUGUUUAAUCGAUUAAUAUUCCUGUGUUAAUCGAUUAUACUGUUUCUAUUAAUCGAUUAAAAUAGUUUCUGUUUAAAACUGUUUUACCUAACAAUAAAAACCCAUAUGAGCUUUGGACUGAUAAAAGACCAAGCUUAAAACAUUGCACAUUUGGGGUUUUCCAACUGAGACACGACCUUAUAGACCACAGGAAAGGAAACUGGACUCAAGAAAAAUUAGAUAUUAUUUUGUUGGCUAUGUUAUUUCGCUCCUUUUAAUGAACUUUAAGUUGUGAGGUUGAAUUGCUCUUUGAUAUGUGUCGUCCUCUCUCGAGCUCCAACACGUGCACUCAAUUGAAGCCGCACCAACUCUUGUGGUACGAUUAUCAAUUGAAUCAUUUACUUGGAUCUUUCUAUUCAAUCUCUUCGUAGCAAUCCAAGGUGAAUUCUAGAAAACCCCCGAGAAUCCUAAGACUACUCUCGUGAAUUAGGAUUCUAGAUUAAAUAAUUGAAUGGUCGGAUAGUUGGGUUCACCUCUCGGUCCUUCCCUAAUGUAUCUAAGAGGUAUAAUUUGUUGGCCAGACAACUCACACUAAUAAAACUCAGUUUAAUGAUUCAAAUCACAACAAUCAAUGAAACAGAAGUAAGAACGAGUGUUUAUUGAAUGUAAUAGGGCAUGCCCCAAUCCUAGAAACAAAGGGAAUUACUCACUCAUAAUGGAGAAGAGAAUACCAAAUUCUAAAUUGGAUAAUUAUAAUGUAAAGUAUAAAGUGUAAACUGUGUUUAAUCCUUGAGGGAGAACCCUCAUUUAUCCUAAUUAAAAAAUAUUGGACUAAGCCCAACAAAACAAAUCUAAAAAAUAGGAAUAGAAUAUAACAUUCACUACUUCUUUUGGCCCUUCAAUUGGUCUUUGCAUAGGCUCAACACCGAAUUUCAUCUUCUUGCACCCAAUCUCUACUCUUUUUGGCUUCAUUCCAUCCAAAUUGCACAACAUAGCCAAAAACACCCGCUCAACCCGAACAAAGAGAAAUAAAAGCUAAAAACAAUCUUAAAGUCUUAAUUAUGUCCUAAAAUGUAAGUUAAAUGUAAUGCAAAUGUAACAUAAUUUCACACUCAUCAAAUCUCCUCAAGCUUAUAUGUUUCUUGUCCUCAAGCAAGUAUUAUGUCUAAAUUUUACAAUCAUGCAUGAAUGAUGAUAUAAAAACCAUGACCCAAAAUAAUAAGCAAUCUCAUGUUAGUUUUGAAAUAAUCUAGACAUCAAGACAAGACAAUCAUAUACAAAUAUAAUUCAAGCUAAGUCUUCGAGUCAUAACAACUACAUGAAUUGAGUAACUCUUCUUUCAUCACUCUCAUGUGUUUAAAGGUCAUAGUAUUUCGCUCAAAUUUUCAUGAAAUUAAAUUAUCUUAUGCUUGAUUAUAGAUCAAAUCGCCACUUAAUGUAUUUAAAUGCAUGCAAAAGUGAAGAGGUCUUUAAAUGAUUGUAAUGGGGCCAAGGUGAAUGAUUUAUGGUGAGAUAAACAAGUAAAGGAUACUUCAAAAGGCCUACAAAUGUUUCUCCAAAUACUUAAACUUUUUAGACAUCUGACUGAAGCAUUGAGAUUCUUUUAAUAAGCCUUAAUUUAUCAUAUGAUCCUUUUUCGAUCAACCAUUCUUUUUACAAUAUCAUUUUUGAAUAAUUUCUCCUUUAGUACAUUUUGUAUUAUUAUUUUUUCAUUCUUUUAUUCAUUCUUAUUAUUUUUCUAUAAGAGAAAUUAUGAUUUUUUUUUUCUUUUUCACAAUUAUUUGGUUUCUUUCACUACACAUGACCUUUUUACCUUUCCCAUUGCUUCAACCAAACAUCCCAUAUUAUCCCAAACCCUAAUUUAAGUAGCUAUGAAAAACCAUUAAAUUCCUGGCUCAAAAGUGGGCAACUAAUGGGUUUUAAAUGUUUAUAGCAAGUAGUUGAAGGUCAAAAGAAAAAGUUCCCAUUGCCUCUAUCAUUUUAAUGCAUACAAACAAACUUCAAUCUUGAAACGGGCAUAAAUCAAGUUCUAGAAUGUACAACUUACAAAAUUAUGCACUCAUGAAAGCAAAAAGGGUUUUUAUGCAAUUGUCAAUUUAUAUCAGAACCCUUAUUGUGUUUGACCCAAGUUUCUCACAUUUGGUUCAUUCAGCAAAAGUAAUGAAACAAUGACCUUUAUUUAACCAAAUUUAAUUCUCAAUUGUCAAGUUCUAGAUAUAAAGUUUGUCUAGUUGCUCAAGGCUACACUUAGAAAGAAGACAUUGAUUAUUAAGAAACUUUCACUCCAGUAUCUUCGAAUGAUUCUUUUAGAAUAGUAUUGACACUAGUAGCUCAUUUUGAUUUAGAGGUACAUUAGAUGGAUGUUAAGACUAUGUUUCUAAAUGGUGACAUUAAAGAAACGAUCUAUGUGGUGCAACUAGAAUACUUUGUGACAAUUGGCUCAAAGUUAAUGGUAUGCAAAUUAAAGAAAUCCAUCUCUAGUUUUAAACAAGCUUCUUGUCAAUGGAAUCACAAGUUUCAUCAAGUUAUUACCUCGUACGGUUUUGAGGCACAUAAAGUUGGUAAUUGUGUGUAACACAGACUCAAUGGGAGUAAAUUUAUAUUCCUGGUAUUAUAUGUCGAUAAUAUACUUGUUGAGAGCAGUGAUAUGGGACUAUUGCAUGAGACUAAAAGAUUUCUAAUGAAGAAAUUUGAAAUGAAAGAUCUUGGGGAAGCUUCUUUUGUAUUAAGUAUUCAGAUACUAAGAGAUCCUCUCAAGGUAUCCUGAGGUUGUCAUAAGAAAGAUAUAUAGAUAAAAUCCUAGAUAAAUUUGGCAUUAAAGAAAGUAAACCAUGAAAGAAAGAAAAAUGAUGUUAAGAAUUUUGGACAGGUGCUUAGAAAUGUUUUACACCAUACUUAAUGAGAAAAGAACUUCGUAUUUUUUAUGUCUUCACUACAGUGUAACUAUCCAUUUAUUCAACAUCUCAAUCAUUUCUAAAAAAGGAUGAUAAUAAAUCAACCUUGGCUAGAAUGUAGGAAAGGCUUUCUUACAAUGCUUCUACUGAGAGAAAGGAACUUUCUACUCUUAAUACUCUGUAAUCAUCCUCAUGUUCUGCAACUUGAUUAAGAAAAUGUUUUCUUAUUUAAUCAUCAUUGAUAUUGAUAAAUCAUUUUUAACGGGCGUGAAGAAAAUGUUUUGUUAUGAUACUUUUUUGGUGACCAUAGACCAUCAACCAUCACUUAUUAUCACUAUUCACUUUCCUUGUGAUUCAACUUUCUCUUGGUUUGCUUAUAGAGAUGAAAACGAGCCGAACCGGACUGAACCAGAACUCAGCUUGAUAAGGAUCUACUCAAUUUGAAACUCGACUCAAGUUUGAUACGAGUUAUUUUUUAGCUCGGGUUCGACUCGGUUAAAUUUCGCGAAUUGUUCAACUCAACUCGAAUUGGUUCAUUUAUAUAACUCAAAUAAUAAAUUUAUUUUUAAAAAAUAUAUUGCAUAAGGUUAUAUAUAUAUAUAACCUUUUAUAUAUAUAUAUAUAUAUAACAAAAACAAAUAUAAAAUUUAGUUAUAUAUAUAUAUCGAACUAGCUCAUGAACCUAACGAGUCUUAAUAUUUAUAUGAUAUAAAUCAGAUAAAAUAAAAAAUAAUAUAUAUAAUGAUACAUAUACUUAAGUGGGACAAAGUGAGGAGUAAGCUUUACACUAACAUCUUAAGGGUACAUAGAAUUUUAAUUUAUUGAUCAACUACUAAAUUAUAGUUGUGAUGAUAAGUUAUAUACUAAUUUUUUUUAUAAAUUUACCUCAAACUUAUUGAAACUUGAGAUGUAUGUUUACAUUUAGAGAUGUAUAGUUAUUAAUACAGUAUCUGUCCUCAAAUUGGUCACCGUACUAGUACAAUGGUAUAGUGGUUUAACCGAUGGUUCAUUAAUUAACUUAUGACAGUUAAACCGGACAUACAUGCUUAUGUAUAUAACCUUUAAUAUAAAAAUCAACUAGGUAGAUAACAAAAUUUAUAAUUCAUAUUUAUAGUGUACUAAGAAUUCCCAUAGAUAAAUAAUUUUAACAAAUCCAAAGUCUAACCCAUCUUCCAUUGAUGCAAAUAGAAGCCCAAAAGGGCAAAACUAGCAAAUCAACUAAUUGAACAAAUAGAAGAAUCAAGUAAGUAAGAAGCAAGAGAGAUAAGGUGAGAGAUGAAAUGAACACACCCCUUAGUGGAAAAUAGUGUCAACUCUACAAGGAAUAGGCAGGAACGAAGAUGAUACGUUGGUGGAAGCCUGGAACUAUAGAAGAAUUGAAGAAGGAUUGAAGAAGUGUGAAUACUGGAUAGAGAAGAAUCGAAUAAGGGUAGAAGAAUUGUGAACGGUGUAGCCUAUAAAUUUUGAAAAUCCCACUUCCGUAAAACGACGUAGUUUAGGGGUGUAUUUUUAGUUAUAUAAACCGGCUGGUUUAGUCAAAUUUUAACUUGUUCACCAGUUUUGACUAAAUCUGAUCAGUUUUCAACGAUUUUGAUACUUGGUUAGAACAACAACCAUGUCGUACUAGUUAGAGGUCUGGUUCAUUGGUUUACAGGUUGAACCGGCCAGUAUGAAAUAGUUUUUACAUCAUGGUGUGUUAAUGAGAUGGUAAAUAAGUAUUUUAACAAACAAAAAUGAAAAUUAUAAAAGGUAAAUAAUUAAGUUAAUUUAUUUGUUAGGCGUGUGUUCCAUUGAAAUAAUAAAUUCACUAAAAAAUAUUCAGUUUGGAUUAAAAUUCGAAAUCGUUAAGGUGAGUUAAUAGGUGAAUGAGAAUUUGCAUUUAUAGUUACUAUCAAAAUAAAUGAAAUAAAAGCUAAAGCUGAGAUUAAGAAAGAUAGACGAAAUAGUGAACGAAUUAAACUAGAAUUUAUUACUUUUUUUUUUUAUUUUGUAUCAAGUUCUAGAUAUUGUUUGCUAAUAUUCUGUCUAUAUUUCUAUAACUAUAUUAAUCUCGUUUUAGUACUAACUUAAGUGAAGAAAAAAAUGAAGUGAGAGAAAAUUUGAGAUUAUUCAUAAAUGUUAGGGUUGCAAUUUGUUCACCAAGUGAGAAUCAUUAAAUAUAUAAUUUUGUUCAAUUUUAAGAUUUGUCGAUGAUGGUUGUUAAAGCCUAGGUUAUUUUUUAGAAGAAUUUCUAUUGCCUAAAUGUUGGGGUGUAAUCAUUUUGAGGCUGAAAUAGACAAAUGGAAAGUUAUAUUACUAUAUAAUAUGAUAUGGGCAAGUCUUAUUUUCCAUGUUUUUCAAAGUUAUCAUCGAAAAGAUUAUAAGGGUAUCGAUACCUAUUGUACUAUAUUGAUGAUGCUUUUUUUACUUGGACUAUUCUCGCAAAAUAAACAUUAUCUGGUAUACUUCUUAUUCUGAUUUAUAAAUGUAUAAUAAUGAUGGUAAUCUUCUGGACAGACUCUACUGAUGGUACUCUCUCUCUCAAGGAUGCCUACAAGAGCAUCAUGCCUUCUACUGAUUCAAGGCAUUGGUGCAAGCUCAUUUGGUCUAGCUCCAUUCCUCCCUCAAAAUACUUCACCCUUUGGAGGCUUAUAAACAACAGAAUGCCCUCAGAUGAGAACUUACAAGCUAGAGGCUGCAUUUUAGCUUCUAAAUGCAAUCUUUGUCAUGUCCAAGUCGAAUCAUCUCAGCACCUAUUUCUCUCAUGUUCCUUUGCUACUGCAAUCUGGGAUUGGUUGAAUCAUCAAUUCCAAAUCACAAUUGACACAUCUUCUGCUGCUAAUCUUCUCCUUGCUGCCAAAGGAAGUGCUCAAGUGCAAUUCCUCAUCACUGCUGCAGUGGUGCUUGCUGUUAACACAAUUUGGCACUGCAGAAAUUUGAGCAGGUUUCAGGACAAAAAAUUACUUCUGCCUCAAGCUAUCAACAGAAUCAAGAGCUCCCUCACUCUGGCUGGUAAUUCUUCCUCGGCAAUAGCAAGCUCCUCUCUGCUUGAUUCCUCAAUCAUCAGGUCUCUAAAAGUGCAGGUCAACUAUAGGAAAUCUCCUAGAAUCUUGGAAGUCAAUUGGAAGUUGCCUCCCUUUGGCAGGGUAAAAAUCAAUACGGAUGGAGCUGCUAGAGGUCAUCCAGGGCAUGCUGGAGGGGGAGGAAUUUUCAGGGAUCAUGAUGGUUUGUUCAUGGGUGUUUUCUCUACCUAUUUUGGCAUACAUGAUGCUCUCUAUGCUGAGCUUUCUUCAGCCUUUUUAGCAAUUCAAAAGGCUCACAGCAUGGGAUGGCACACAAUUUGGUUAGAAUGUGACUCAUUGUUGGUCACAAAAAUUUUCCUAGGUACUAUGGUUAUCCCUUGGAAGUUAAUGUCAACUUGGAGGUCAUGUAAGAUCCUCAUGUCUUCAAUGGAUUGUUGGAUAACACACAUCUAUAGGGAGGGAAACCAAUGUGCUGAUUCAUUGGCAAACUUCGGCAUUGAUCAAAAUUGCUACACUUGGUGGACUCAUCCACCUUCUUUAGUGCUUCCUUAUUUGUAUAGGAAUAGUAUUCAAUUACCUUCCUAUAGGUUUGUAAACUAAUCUUGUAUGUUUUCAGCUUAUUAAUAUAUUAUGGGCUAAGCCCCUUGCUUAAAAAAAAUUAAUGAUAUUUUGAUCUCUUCCAUCACAUAUUUCAUUAAACAAUUCAUAUCAACAUAAUUAUUUCUUAACUUCUAUUGCCUAAUAUUUCUUUUACCAUUGUAAUCUAGUGUUAAUGUUUUAUAACUUAUCAAAUUUAUUUGAUAAAUGCAUAAAAACAUUUCAAUUCAAAAAAUAAAAUAAAAUUAAAUAAAGCAUUUGGAUUCUAAUAUGGGAUAUUAACUAUGAUACUUCGAAACAAGAAACUAAAAAAGCUCAAGGACUUAUGAUCUGAGUUGUUGUCUUGGAUUCAUUUUGAGAAUUAAAUUAAUUUAGUUAAGAAAUGUGUGAAACUCUAAUUCUUUUAAGCGAGAAGUAAAUGCAAUAUGAAUGAAGUCAAUAAGUAUAUAUAUAUAAUUAUAUUAGUUAAAUUUAAUAAGAACAUAUAGAUUGAUGAAGGUAGAUCUUUUAUUAAUAAUAGUACAUAGGUAAAACUCUAGUGUUAUUAUUAUCUUGUGGAUCACUAUGAGCUCUUACAUGAUAGUAGAUAUCAGCUUAGUAAAGUGUGCUCUAAAUAGAAGAGAUGAGACCCCUUCUUCCAUGGCUUCCCUCCUUCUCCUUUUGUUGUUGCUGCUGAGGUUGAGCAUUUGCAAAGUAAGAUUGUUGUUGGUUCUUGAUUAAUCUCUCAAUGUCUUCAGCAGAACCAGGGAAUGUAAGCUCCUUCACUUCUCUAUCUAACUGCCUUAUCACAUUCUCUUUAGAACCUUUCAAUUUUCAAUGAUUUCCAAACAUAACAGUAUGAGUUAGUAACGCCAAAACCAAAGUCAUAAAGCAAAUAUUAUUUUUUACAAUUAGGUAUUUGUGCCAAAAGUUGGCUUUGUUGCCACAUUGGCUAUGUCCAAGACAUAGUUGGUGAUUUGGCGAUCAAUUUUAUAAUCGUGUAUCUACCUUUUAAACUACCUCUUAAGGUUAAAGUGAAAUAUAUUUAAUUACAAUGUUUGAAAUUGAAUAAUGUUUAUGGUACCUACAAGGAAAUUCCUCUGGUUUUCAUAAGCAUUGAUGCCAAAUCCAAGCAAGCGAAUAUUUGAGGAAGUGCUGAUGGAAAUUGGAUGACUUGUCGGAAUUACGAAAAUGUCACCUUCUGUUAAUUUACCAUUGUACCUUCUCACUUCUUGCUCAUCUUGUUGUUGUUGUUGAUCUCUUAUACCCACCAGUUCAUAAUUUCCUUCUCCUUCAUCAACCACGACUACAAAUAUGGCCUUUGAGUUAUACAUAGUGUGGCUAAAAAAAAGCUCCCUAAAAUAUAAAAAAUGAAAUCAUUAGUAUUAGUAUUGUUGUCUAAGACGCAACACUAGUGAAUAAGUAGAAGGAAUUAUGUGUAUAGUUAUUUAGGAUGUGAUAUAUGUAAUUUACCUCGUUAAUGUCUAUGAAGGUGAGAGAGAUAUCCAAAUACUGAGCUUGAGGGUUUCUGUCUGGGGUGAUCUCGUAGAAGUUGCCAAACUUGUUUGAAUAAAUGGGUUCAUUGCUUCUCAAGUUGAAGGGGCCAGAUUUAGAUGGUUUGCCUUUUCCUGAUAAUGAUUGAGCAUGUUUUCUCAAUUCUUGGAUUUGUUCCUUUGACACUCUCACUAUCACCCCCUCUUCUUGGUGGCUCUGCUCCUGUCCAUGGCUUUGUUCCUCAUCUUCGUGCUCAUCCUUAUUUCCUAAAAGAAUCCUUUGUAUCUCUUUAUAACGGCUCUAUAUUUGAAAUCCAAACAAACAAAUAUGUGAU
This 45617-nucleotide long non-coding RNA is filed under the name Lupinus angustifolius (narrow-leaved blue lupine). RNAcentral describes it as "long non-coding RNA (LANG_LNC003604)". Lineage: Eukaryota; Viridiplantae; Streptophyta; Magnoliopsida; Fabales; Fabaceae. The record is from RNAcentral.